UUUUUUUUUGUUAUUGACCUACUGCUGUUGUCAAACUACUGUUGUCAUUAACCUGCUGUUGCUGCUGUUGUAAGAGAAGAAGGAGCACGCCCAGGAGAGGAAGGAGCAAGCCCAGGAGAAAAACAACAAGCGGGAGAAGAGGGGAGCAAGCCCAACUUAAACUAUUGUUGUUUAUGUUGUUACACGCUUGUUGAUCCGCCAGACUCCACAGCUGCUCUGCAUCGUCCACACAUGCCAGUUUUAUUAUCUUUAGUUCUUGGUUAUAUUAUAGUUAGAAUUAUACUGUGUGACUGAGUUCUGUUGGGAGUGUGCAUGAUUUUAUCCAUAGCUAGCACUAUUGAUAGAGCUUUGUGUGUAAUCUGGAGUUGUUCCCGUUAUUGUUCUAUCCAUUUAUUGGUGUUACAUGUGUAGCCAGUAACCAGGACAUGUACUUGUGCCAUGCAUAUUCAUAUAGUCUCUAUUGUCUUGUAUGAAUAUCUCAUUUUAACUAGCUCGGCUAAAAAAGCUUGGUACUAGCUGAAAUCUGUUUAUCAUUAUAUAAAGAAUCGUCCUUUACCCACUUACUACUUUUUUUUGAAUGGAAUGUUCAUAUUAUAUUGGAUCCAGAUUUUCUGAUUCUUCUCAGCCGAUUCAUGUAACAGGGCGACUGUGGAAGGCAUGUUGUAUUUCUGUCAGCCCAGUCCUGACUAUGUCUGUCCGUGAGUCCGACAUUUGAUCGCUGUUGAAGGAGCUCCAUGCUGAAGAAGAGAACACUUGUAGAGCUUGUAACAUUACUUGGAGAGCUUGUAAAGUACUGUAGAGCUUUGCAUUUGUAGAGCUUGUAAAGCAUUGUAUAUGUUAGAGCUUGUAUUACGUGUCAUUUGUAGAGCUUGUAAUGAAUCUGGCUAUUGUUAUUUGAAUAAUUAUGUGUGUUUUCUGCUUGCCUAUUUAAAUACUGGUUAUUUUCUUACUAUGACAUUCAAAUAUGAUGUCAAGUUGAAAUAUGAAGAAUCUGAGCCUAAUAGCUGGGACCCAUUUAUCAGAACCGGACAAGUGGGACCUGUUUGACUAAUGGACCCAUUUUAUAAAAAAAGAAAACUAAAACUACUGGUACAAAAAGGCCAUGGCCCAAAAAAUAAUAAGGCCAAAUUGUAGGGCUUGGCCUGUGUAGUUCACCAAAAUUAGCAGCGAAAAAAAAUAUAAAUGGGCUGAAUUGUUGGGCUUGGCCCAUGUAAAACACUGAAUCGGACCGGGCUAAUUCUUGUGCCACAUCAGCUUGCCAUGCUGGAUGCCUACGUGGUCUGGGGGUGUUGCUUGUGACCAAAAAUUUGGUCGUGGAACCAACGACCUUGUACACAUCGCAAAGAAGGUCGCUAUAGUCAGUUUACGACCGCCAGCUUUUGACCUUCUGUUUUUGGUCACAAAAAGGUCGCAAAUGAAAAACUAUGACCUUUCAGUGACCAAUAGUGGUGGUCACAAGUUGACAUAUUUCUUGUAGUGGUCAUCACCAACGAUCCUCUCAUCGGGAGGGGGUCAAUAUCCAUCAACAUCUUCACCAGCACCAUCUCCUCUCAAACCCUAGUUCAUCUCUUGUAUCUAAUCUUGUAUCCAAAACCACAAAUUGGUACCUGUGAGUUGCUAGUAGUGUUGAUUACUCCUUGUAGUUGAUACUUAUUGGUUUACUUGGUGGAAGAUCAUAUGUUCAGAUCCUUAAUGCAUAUUAUUACACCUAUGAUUAUGAACAUGAAUAUGCUUUGUGAGUAGUUACGUUUGUUCCUGAGGACAUGGGUGAAGUCUUGCUAUUAGUAGUCAUGUGAAUUUGGUAUUCGUUCGAUAUUUUGAUGAGAUGUAUGUUGUCUUCUCCUCUAGUGGUGUCAUAUGAACAUCGACUACAUGGCACUUCACCAUUAUUGGGCCUAGAGGAGGGCAUAGGGAAGUAAUAAGUAGAUGAUGGGUUGCUAGAGUGACAGAAGCUUAAACCCUAGUUUCUGCGUUGCUUCGUUAGGGGCUGAUUUGGAUCCACAUGUUUCAUGCUAUGGUUAGGUUUACCUUAAUACUUUUGUUGUAGUUGCGGAUGCUUGCAAUAGGGGUUAAUCAUAAGUGGGAUGCUUGUCCAAGUAAGGGCAGUACCCAAGCACCGGUCCACCCACAUAUCAAAUUAUCAAAGUACCAAACGCGAAUCAUAUGAACGUGAUGAAAACUGGCUUGACGAUAAUUCUCAAUGUGUCCUCGGGAGCUCCUUUCUCAUUAUUAGAAGUUGUCUAGGCUUAUCCUUUGCUACAUAAAGGAUUGGGCCACCUUGCUGCACUUUAUUCACUUUAUUUACUUGUUGCUCGUUACUAUUUAUCUUAUCAUAAAACUAUCUAUCACCUACAAUUUCAGUGCUUCAAGAAAACCUUACUGAAAACCGCUUAUCAUUUCCUUCUGCUCCUCGUUGGGUUCGACACUCUUACUUAUCGAAAGGACUACGAUAGAUCCCCUACACUUGUGGGUCAUCACGGACCAUGGUCGCCUGCGGGGUAGAGCAAAACGAUAUUCUAGAACCAAGAAAAAAAUUGGGAUGACUUUGCCUAAAAAUAGGACCAAAAAGAAUGCAUAGUGCCAAAUUCUCGCCGAAACAGAAAUGAAUCAACAUUCCGGCAAAAUAUUGGCAACUAUCACAUUUCAAAUACUGGUACCUGCAAACACAAACAUAUAUGCAACACCACAACCAUAUGCAACACCACAAACAUACAUAGAACUAGCUAGGCCAUAAAAAGUGCAUGUGCAUGUUGUUGGAGGGAGAAAAAAGUAGAUCUAUAACAUAAAGAAAGCUUUCCCCUUACCUACCUAUAAAAAAGGUAAUUUAACCACUUAAAUUGGAUGAAUCUAUGGUGCAAAUGAGGUGAGGAGGAGGAGGCAGCCGAGACAAGCUUGGAGGAGGAGGUGGAGAGAAUGAAGUGGGGAAAGUGAGUGUGGUAGGUGGUUGUCCAAAAUAUCUAGCUGGUCUCAGGUUACUAAUGGUGCACCACCUAUCAAUGCGCCAUUAGUAACCCUUGUUACUAAUGGCACACCAGUUAGGUGGUGCGCCAUUACUAGUUUUGCAAAAAAAAUGUUAGUAGUGGUGCACCGUGUGUGUGGUGCCCCAUUACUAGUUUGAACUAGUAAUGGUGCACUAUACACUAGUGCGCCAUUACUAGUUAUGACAAAAAAAGUAAAAAAAAUUGUUAGUAGUGGCGCGCGGGGUGAGUGGUGUGCCAUUACUAGUUAACACUAGUAAUGGCGCACUGUGCCCUGGUGCGCCAUUACUAGUUUUGGAAAAAAAAGUUUGUUAGUAGUGGCACACCGUGGGUGUGGUGCACCAUUAGUGUGAUGGACACUAAUGGCGCACUGACACAUGGUGCACCACUGCUAUAUAGUAGUGGCGCACCACAUGUGUGGUGCGCCAUUAAUGUCCAUAUUAUCUAUAGCCCUUUGCCUAGUAGUGAUGUAAUAUACAUGAGAUGCGUGUGCAUCCGGAUUUUGUAUACGUGGAAGGAGAAGAGACAACAUGUUUGAUGAGAGAGCUGGAAAAACAUGGAUGAGAGGGGAAGGAUAUCGUGGGUGGAGGGAUUGAUAAUGCGGGGGAGAGAGGGAUUGGUAAUUUUGUGAGAAAGAGAGAGGGUGGGGGGAGGAGUCAGUCAGCCGUCGUCACAUCACCCUUCUUCCAAAUGGCCCCGCAUUCUCUAGCGUGGUGUGGUCGCCGUCUUUGAUCUGCCUGAUGCCCUCUUUGAAGAUUGAUGUGUUGUGCAUGUUGGGGUGCAAAGAAGCACAAGUGAGAUUGGUCGCCGUAUAACCUUGGAUGGGGAUGAAUUGUGUGCUCGAGGGAGUGUGUGUGUGUGUGUGUGUGUGUGUGUGUGUGUGUUGUGCUAUGUGUGUCUCUGUGUGUGUGUGUGUCAGAUAUUGAGAGAAAACAAACCUAAGGAGAGAAAUGCGUAUUCACGAAGAGAUUGUGCGGGCGUUGAGGUGGGCAGGGGCCGGGUGAGGGUGUCAAAAUGUGCGUGUUGAUGCAUGUGUUGCAUGCGAGCGUGCGAUUGACGGAUGAAUCGAGAGAGAUGGUUGUUGUGUUACGGAUGCUCCUCUCUCUCUCUCUCUCAUGCACACACGCACACACAAGUAAACUAGAAGACCGUUCUCUCAUGUAUACACAACGUAUCAGCAUAUGUCUAUGUCUCACUCAUGCAAGAUCAUUUGCACAUUCACACCUCUCUAUGUCUGUAUCACACGCACACCGUCUCCACAUUGCCCUUCCGCCACAACACACAUAUGGACACAUACACACGUUCUCACUCAAUCACUCACACAAAAUCAGUAUUAAAAAAACUAGGCCGCACCUAAAACGUCCAAAUCCAAAUAAACACGAACUAGAGCUAAAUUCAAAUAUAUGGAAAUAUUGCAGCGUCAAGAACUUUUCUAGGAAAAAAAGUUGAGUAAUAUUCGGGGAUUUUUUUCACACACACAAAAAGGUUCGGUGGAUUACUUCGAGCGCGACAAGGUGACGCACCAUUUGAUCGACCGCUCGGCCGCGGUUCACACGCUUGCACAGGAUUCCGUAUCGUGGCUGUGGUACUAACUAAUAAAAGCGUUGCCUAAGUCUAAUGUUUACGUGUACUAGAACGGUUUUCUUUUAAGUUUGACCAACCUUAUAUAAAACUAAAGUAAGCCCCCACACGCGCACUCAUCAAUAUGUCGCCGCCGUCGUUGCACAUGCCGGCGCCCGCCUGCUCCGGCCAACAAUUUCUUGCCCAUCACCGUCGUGUCGCCGCCAUCCCUGUGCCAUGAAGCCGAAGGUUCGCCCGCUCACGUCGUCUGCAGUCCCUCCUCGCGAUGCCGCAGCGCUGCCAAGCAUGCAAGUAGCUGGUGGAGCUACGUCAAUGCACGCAGCAUACGAAGAGGAGGACGAGCGCGUGCUCCAGCACGCCGGCAAGGAGGAACUAGCAUGUCAUUGUCGUCUCCGCCCACGCGGAGGAGGCGCGCAUGGUGGCUGUCGCGGCGGAAGCUGGUCGCGUGCGCGUCGAGCCCGCAAACCGGGUGCAGACGCGGAAUCUACCUUCGAGACCUUGAAUGCCACAUGGAUCCUGCAAUCUAAAGGAGCAAUUUGAGUUAGUCGACUCUUGUGAGCCGUUUGAUGCAACAUGGAUGGCUAUAAGGGCUUCUUCGACCUCUUCUGUCAUCUUCUUCCUUCGCUCCGUCGAACUUCUUUCACAAAUCGACUGACCCAAACUAUACUACUAGUACGAACGUAUUAAGUACAGUUGGAACACGAAGAUAUGAGCAGUAGUACCAACUGCAAGAAGAACAGUAGUAAGACAUAGUACUAGUACUACUGUACAUACUAAAGAGUUCAGAUAAUGAGAAAGAACAUAAACAUAGUUCUGCUGGGGCCUCAGCAAAACACACCCUUGAAAAUAAACUAAGCAACUAGUCUGCUUGAAACUGCAGUAGAACCAGCAUGAGCGACGGCACUGCCACCUAUUCGGAGUCCGAGUCCACGUCCUCGACUUCGUCCUCGUCCCUUUUCCUCUUCCUCUUCUCUGACGCUUCUUUGCUUGAAGCGGACACUGGGCUCUGCUUCUUCAUCCAACCCUUGUAGAUAUUUAAGCAAAGGUAGGCAUCCAUUGCUGCGUACAGGAUGUGAUCUUCAUCUAAUGUCUUCGACUCCCAUGCAUGAUGAAACUCGUGAUGAGGUUUCUUCAGUUUAGCAUACGAAGGAUCAAUCAUGCCUGCUACCAGGGUCAGCAUUGAAGGUUGAGAGGAGGACACCAGGCUUGCCUUCUGGAGAUUGAAGGGAUGACCUACAAUGAGACCUAUCCGGCGCAGGACAUCCCUGUCGUUCUUAAAGUCUACAAUAACGAAUUUCACUCUUUUAUCCUUGAGGAAGUUCUUAAAAUCCUGGCACUCAACAUUCGCAUGGCAUAUGUGGUAAACCAAGCAAACGUUACAUACACAAACCUGGAUCACGGCGGGCUUCUUCCUCUCUUCGUCCAUUAGAUCCUUCUCUCGUCCCAGGACUGUGGUGUACUCAACAUCUAGCCCAGCGACCCACUCAUCCGUUGAACUGUUGAACAUGCGUAGGAAGCGAGCAAGCCAUGUUUUCACCGUCGCAAAACCACGUGUGUAGAUGAUGAUGAACUCAUCGCCGGUGAUGGCUCUAACCUGGUACUCAGCGGCGACCAUGGAGAUUUGGGAGGCCAUGGAUUUUGGAGGAGAGUUAGGAGAAGUUGAACUAUUGUACCCCGUAAAAAAAACUGGGAGCAAACUAAUGUGAAAGGAUGGGACGACUGGGAGCGAACUGUUGUAAGUUAGAGGACAGGGACAAGUAGGGCGUGCGAAUGGCGUGGGGUUGCUGGCAUGCCCGGUGGAUAAACAGCUGCAAGCCCCCAAAGAGUUCUCAAGAACUAUGCGGGACCGACUAGAUGUCAUGUCUACUAGACCCAUAUCGUAGGCUUGACGGUAUAGCUUCUGCCUGUUCGCAUGCCAUGUCGGAGCGUGGAUGUAACUUCACUAAAUUACGUCAACCGUCGCGCCUCCCACGACCUUCGCCUCCCUCGCGUGGUUGCACCCUUUGAGACUUCGACCGGCUAUAAAUGAGCAAUUGUUUUUUGCCUACUCCGCAUGCAUGAUACUCCCUCUGGUCCUUUUUAAUCCCGUCAUCUGUUUGCAAAGUGUUUGACCAAAUUUAUACUAAAAAUAUCAAUAUCUACAAUACUGAUUAUAAUGAGUAUAAGAACUACGUUUUAUAAUGAGUGUAAAAAUAUUGAUUUGACAUUGUGAAUGUUGAUACAUUUUUCUAUAAGUCUGGUGAAAGUAGAGGUACAUUGACUUCAGACAAAACUUAAAUGCACAAUGCAGACUAGUUCCUCCGUCCAGGUGCAUGCCAUGUCCUAUCUUGUCAUCACAACAAGGUUAGCUAUUAGAGUACUACUACCUACCUUCUAGUUUAAAGGGCUCGAUUCAAAAAUUUCAGCUACUCUUAGCAAGAUAGUAGAGGCGGUGGAAUAGUUUUUGAAGUCUGCAAAAGUAGUCAACUAAUGUUGUCAUUCUUCACAAAAGAAAAUGUGUUUACCAAUGCAUGCAUGAACACUAGUUACUCUAACCCCCCCUCUCUUCUUUAAUUCUUUGCCACAUCAGCAUGUUUGCUAUUCUCGUGUGCGUUAUACCAGCUAAGAUACCACCAUUAUGGCCAGCCUUAAUCAUCACAUGCAAUAAUUUAGUGCACCUUGAAAUAUGAACAUGUGUGGGGCAUGUAUGUUUUUAAUGACUUGAGACUAUACCUAGCCCGGCAUGCAAGAUGACUUAUUAUGCACCAUUCCCCAUACCUGCAGGAAGCCCGUUCGUCUCCAAAUCUUUUCCUCUCCAUGUGUGGAAACAAUAUGCCUGCCAAACUCUCCUUCUCCCUCCGGCGGUCUCACCACUCGACCCCGUGUGAAAAAAUCUGCAUGCAUGACUCUCCUCCCCCCACGCUCGUCCAAUCCGUUGUGACCAGCAAUAUUUCCACCCCUUCCCUCCCCCGUAAUUUACUCCAACAAAUAAGCCCACGUAGUUGUUACGUCAAUCACGCAACAUAUCUUCUAGGAUGCUGCUUUAGUUACUUAACUGCAGGUGCAUUGGGUCACUGACAUAUGGGCCCAACAAAACUCUGGCCCACAUGUCAGUGACACAACUGGACCUACAGUUAAGUCAGUGCAGUUCAGUCCAUAUCUUACGUAGGUGUGCCAUUGCUCGCUAUAAAUACUAUGCCUCCCACGGCAUUCAGAAGAACACUCACGUUCAUCGCUAUCUCCUCCCCCUCCCUCGCACGUCGACCACCAUGGCAUCGCCCCUCCCAAGCCCUAAGUGCCCCUCGCUGCACCGCCCGGACGGUCACAUGUCGUUGUUCCAUUCCUUGCCGCCACUAGUCGAGGAGGACACAUCGGCGUUCCACUCCUCGCCGCGACACGUCGAGGUGGACGCAUCGGUGUUCCCAAUCUCGCCAGCAUGCGCGUCGGCUCCCCGCCACGAGGAGAACGCCGUGCCGCCCGCCGAGCCCCCGCCUUGAGGAGCUUUGGAAAGAAAUGGAUGUCGCCGUGUGGGAGGCUUUGCCAUCGGCAGAGCACGCCAAAAUAGAGGCGGAGAAGAAGGCUGAGGAAGAGAAGCGCGCUGCAGGGCAAGCUGUCUGGCAGCUCUAUGUCGCGUUCGAGAGUGUCAGGCAAUUGGCUCUUUGGCAGAAGGCUCGUGCAAGGGCCGUGAGGGUGGCGGAGGACGCCCGUGCCAAAGCCCUGAGUGCAGUCGGGCCCAAGUGCCUCAUCUACGCUUGGCGGUAUGUGGACUGGGUGCAUGCUUCUAGCAAGGAGGAGUACCUGCUGGCGCCGGAUCACCAUACUGGUGAGAUCGCGCUCGCCCGCCGGCAAGCCGCCAAUCAGCACCUCGCGAGUUGCGAGGCUGAGGAAGAGGCGUUGUGUCGGCGCGCUGGGAAACGGCCGUGCACCAGGGCACUCAUGGCAUGCCGCAAGCGCUCCUGCGAGCGCCGUGGCUUUUAGUAGGGAGUAUAAUUUAGUUUCGUAAGGUGAUCUCAUUAGUUUUGGGACGCAAAUGAUAAAUCCCGAACGUUUGGGAAUUAUUAGCGUCCUUAAUUAAGUAUGUAAGAGGGAAAGUUUGGAAACCCUGUGUAUCCGUACGCAUUUAGUAAGAAGGUGCAUACAGCAUAAACUUUAGUACUAUAUACUAUCGCACUGCAGUCUCUCCCUAUGUAUGCUUGCAGACUGUGCUACUCCCUCCGUCCAGGUGAAUAAGUCAUCUUUGGUUGUGCACCGUGACCAAGUAGGAGGGAAUACUUUAUACACCUAGACGGAGGGAGUACUACUAUUACUUAUGUACGGGCAAAUGCACGUUUUAACAUUACGAUGCGGUUUUUGUAAAAGUAGAAAAAUGGCACUAGUCAAGCUUGUCAAACGAUUCAAUGCAAAACAAAUGGAAAAAUGCUCGUUUGAUUGUUUACUUUUAGCUUCCUUCUCUGUGGUUAUUUCACUGUCGUACUUUGUAUGGAGUAUCUCACUGUUCGGAAAGGCAUGCAAAUUCCCAAACCGCUUCCUACACCUUGUAUCGAAUUUUUUGCCUAACAAGUUGUGCCGUGCAAUUGGAAUUCCAACUUGAGUACUAGUACUACUAGUAGGAGUACCAGGGGCCAAUUCGUUUAGGCUUCUAGAUUAGUAGUACUCCCUCUGUCUAGGUGUGUAAGUCAUUUUACGGAAACCAAAUAAUUCCAAAAUACUUAGGCGUGGUGCAUUAACUUCUACCUCGUUUCUUGUUUCUUGACAUAUAAACCAAUAAAGAGAUGAAGGGUGUGCAUGCUUUUAAUUACUUGGGAGUACCAAACACGACAUGAAGUGGUUAGUUCAUUGCAUGCAAUGCUAUUAAUUAGCAAACAAACAUUAAGGUCUCUCGUUUUCCACUCCUCCUUGGUCACGGUGCACAACCUAAGAUGACUUACUCACAUGCACUAACAUUUCAUCAGUUAAAUCUUUGGUCAAAAUUUACCACAAAUUACAAUGGUGAUGAAUAAACCAGGACGGAGGUACUCCCUCCAUUUUUUUAUACAAGGCCACUAUAAAAAAUACAUUUUGCAUCUAUACAGGGCCACCAAUAGUAAUCGAGACAAAUAUUAAUGAUGUUUCCUCGUACUAGUAACCCAUGGGUUAAUUACUAGCAUGCAUGUAGUGGAUGAUAAUGACAAACUCAUCUAGUACUUCCUCUCUCACGGCCACUCAAUUUCUUCUAAUAUGCAUGCACCCUAUUAAUUAACCCGGUAAACGAGAAAAAAAUUGACUUGUAAAGCACACAUUGAUUUUUUAUCUUGGUACCUGUAAUUUGAGUUUGUGACCUUGCAUAUAAAAAUGAAGGGAGUACUAGUAGUACUAGUAGUUUAGAAGCCCAAAUAAAUGAGUGAGGCGUCUUAAUGUUACUCUCCACUGUGACUAGUCUUAUGGGAAAAGCUGGGGAAGAGACGGCUUAUUUUUUAAGCCGCAAAAAGAACUGGCCCUAGGAGUAGUAGCUAGGGAUACUAGGAGUAGUAGCCAGGGAUCGAGUGUGCGAGAUGAACCGGAGAAAGUAAAUGCAGAGAGAUGAAAUGCAAAAAGGACAGGGUGAUGUGAUGGUUGCUUGUCCGUUUAUAUUACCAGGCCACUUAUUACUGGCAGUGGUUGGGUUUUGUGAUAUGAUGGCUUUACUGCCGCGCCACAAGCGGGGUGAGACUCCCGUGCAACGCUGCCCUCUACAAUUGUACUACAUCGGUCGUGGUUUAUUAGUCCCCCAUUGAAUUUGACUGAAGAUUUAACUGACAAAAUGUUAGUGCAUGUCAACAAAAACUAUAUCGUUGGAUUCGUAUUUGAACAUAGUUUUGAAUGAUAUAAUCUUAGGUGACAUGCAUCAGCAUUUAUCGUACUAUAUAUAAUGUUAGUUCAAUUUUUGGUCGUACUAAUCUAUAGUAGUAAGGUGCCCAUGCGUUGCACCGAAGAGUGAAAUGCAUUGAUCGGGGAGUUGUUUAUUGACAAAGGAUGUGGGGGUCAUCUCAUGUGUAACGGGUAACGAUAGGUUUCUUCGGAUAUUAUUUCAUCUCUAGAGCUCACAAACAUCCGGGUGAAAUAGAUAAAAGGGUAUCUUUUGCAAACAAAAGCGUUCAACUGUUCAACCUGCAUCCAAAACUUGUGAAGAAAUAACUGUCGGUGUCAAAACCGGCGGAUCUCGGGUAGGGGGUCCCGAACUGUGCGUCUAGGCGGAUGGUAACGGGAGACAAGGGACACGAUGUUUUACCCAGGUUCGGGCCCUCUUGAUGGAGGUAAAACCCUACGUCCUGCUCGAUUAAUAUUGAUGAUGUGUGUUACAAGAGUGGAUCUACCACGAGAUCAAGGAGGCUAAACCCUAGAAGCUAGCCUAUGGUAUGAUUGUUGUUCGUCCUAUGGACUAAAGCCAUCCAGUUUAUAUAGACACCGGAGAGGGCUAGGGUUACACAGAGUCGGUUACAAUGGUAGGAGAUCUACAUAUCCGUAUCACCGCGCUUGCCUUCCAUGCCAAGGAAAGUCCCAUCCGGACACGGGACGAAGUCUUCAAUCUUCUAUCUUCAUAGUCUUGGAGUCCGGCCGAUGAUGAUAGUUCGGCUAUUCAGACACCCCCUAGUCCGGAACUCCCUCAGUAGCCCCGAACCAGGCUUCAGCGACAAUGAGUCCGGCGUGUAUAUUGUCUUCGGUGUUGCAAGGCGGGUUCUCCUUCAAACUUCAUGUUCCUGUCGAAUAGUGUUCGGCUUCCUUAUAAAUUUUGCGCUCCUUGGCUUCUACGCCCAAUAAUGGCCUUCUUCCACGUGUCAUAUGAAUGCAAAAAGCUAGGGUAUUUUUACAUUUUACCCCCUAGCCGUGCGAACGAGCCGCCUAUAAGAGAGGCGAGGAUCUAGAUCCAGCUCACACCAUCCUCUUCCGCAAGUUCUCAUCGAAGCGCCUCUGACAAAAAUCCAUUCUAUCAUGGAUAGUUGACGCGGCUCCUCCUCUCGCGCUCCCAGUCCUAAGCCAGGAGAUUGGGGGAGAUGCUCAGUUCCACACAGCGAGCUAGUGGCGCUCCAAACCGAGGGAUAUCUUCCCCUAGCUUUCAUGGUUCCGGUUCGAGCCAGACUGGCCACCUUCAGGGGUGGAAAGCAGGCGGAGAGCGUCCCCAACCCUUCCAAAGGAGAGCGGGUAUGCUUCGUCCCUUAUCUAAUAAGGGGACUCAGAUUUCCCAUACAUCCGUUUCUCCGGGGCUCCUGGAGUUCUACGGACUCCAACUUCACCACCUCACACCUGCCUCCAUUUUGCACAUCGCGGGCUUUGUAGCUCUUUGCGAGCUGUUCUUGGGCAUCGAGCCCCAUUUUGUGCUGUGGAAGAGAUUGUUUUGCCUCGUACCCCGUUCUCAUGAGGGGUCGAUAUAUCAAGUGGGCGGAGCCGAAAUAUGGCGCAUCGCCGGGACCGGAUAUCUAUCCGGCACCCCGAAGAAGGCGUCCGAAGACUGGCCUUCGAAAUGGUUCUACAUGGAGGACGCUCCUCUGCCGGAUCCAGUUCGGAUCGGCCUCCUGCAGUUCAGCAAUGCUCCCUUGAAGAAACGCCUGAGUUGGCGCCCGCGGAGCCCUCAACGAGAGGAUGAUGGGAGCGUCCAUUAUCCGAUGGGCCGGAUUAGGUUACUAGCCCACUCCGGAUUGACCAUGAUUGGAAUUAUGGCCACGUGCAUUAUGCGAGGGGUGCAGCCACUCCAAUAUAGGGGCCACCCUAUUUGGGAUUUCAAUGGGGAAGACGACGCCACCCGUCAUGGCCGCAGAGGGCCGGGCUCGACAGGCGAUCUGGCAAAGAUCCUGUCCGGCUUGUACAAGGGGGAGGAGGAGGACUUCCUCCGCACGAAUCCAUUGAAUGGAUUCUCCAUGAAUAACCCUCGGAGCUGGGUAAGCGGAUGUUUAUCUACCCGAUCCAUACUUCCAAAGUCAAGUAUCUUACUUUGUGAUGUUGACACAGGAGUUGCGCCAGGACGUGGAGGGCAUACAAAGCCUAACUCCACAGCCCGAGGAUCCGGAACGAUCCCUUGAUCCGGCCUCCGAAGAGGAUCCGGACAUAAAGGUGGAGCUGAUUGACAGGGUGUUCCACCAACUUAGCAUGGACAAUGCCCUAGUCGCCAUUACGGCUGACUACCCCGGUUUGUUUCCGACCUCCCAGAUGACUACGACCGAGGUCUUGACACCAUCAUUUGAUCCAUGCUCAAUUCUGACCAUCCUAUACUGAUGGUGCAUUGCAGGAGGUGCCUUUAAGGCGGGAAGCCGAACCUGCGGCGGCUGACCAGCAAGGGUCAGUUCGGCCCAGCAGGCGGAAGAGGAGUGCGACGCAAAUCGAAACGUUGCCGCAACGGUACGGCGCACCGUUGUUUUUAAGGGAAGGAUCCCUAGGAGGUAUAUUAAUGCUCAUAACUUUUCCAGGAGAAAGAGCACUUGCCGGACAGUGUCCGGAGAGGUUGCCAAUCAAGCCUCCGCCAGCCAUGCUCCAUCGCGUGGUCCGGAAGGGGAGGCGAACACAAGGCAUGAGACGGAUGUUCCUCCGACGGAGGAUGCCGACAGGCUGUCGGCCACCCGGUCUGAGGUGGAGAGCGCCAUGAAUCACAGGCGUCGCCGGACAGUUCUUCGUGACGCGUGUUUCUCCCCGGGGGCGCUGGAUGCCUUUGAAGCGGGAGACGCGCACCUCCGUGCCGCUCAAGAUGGUUUAACCAGAGCCACGGAGCAGUAUGUGAAGGACAUACGGGUAAUUAAUUUUAAUAGUUAUAUAUGCCAGUAGCCCCCGAGACUUAAAAUAGUUAAAAUAACUGAUUUAAGGAUCAUUUAUUAUGCAGGAUCUUAUGGAGAAGAAUACCCACCUGUCCCAGGAGCUUCAAGGGUGCAAGGCCCAACUUGAGGCCGCACUGGCCGCCACAGGGGGAGCCACAGAGACCCCCGCUGGUAAUACGUUCUUCGAAAAGAUAAGUAGUUAACAAAGUGCGGCGUGUGCGUAAAUAUGACAAUAAUAUUGCAGAGGGCGCCGGACUAGAUCCGGACAAGCAACAGCUACUGCGUCAGCUAAAGGCCGGCGAGAGGGUGCUUAUGAAGGUGCAGCAGGAGAGGAACAAGCUCCAGGAUGCCCACACCCAGCUAGGAGAAGAGCUGAAAGGUGUUCGGGCCCAGCUGUCUGGCUCCGUGAAGGAGAAUCAGCGGCUUCGUCGCGGCAUUUAUAGUAAGUGCUUGAGCAAAUUCCUAUGAAAAGAAGAAUUCGGCGAGGAAGUCGAUUAACAGAAAUGUGUCUUUUAGGUGUGCUCACAGGUUGCCCUGCGGAGGAAAUGCCCGGUUCAACGGGUGACCAACUUCCCGAGCUGGUGUAACUACUCGAACGUGUUCGGCAGGCGAUGAGUGGUGUCGUUCAGGCCUUAUGGCCUUCCGUCUCCCUACCUGAGGGCCUUGGAGGGCUUGCUGAGAAGCUUCAGGGAGUACGGCGACGCCUCCGUCUGUGGAAGAUAUCAGCCUGCCAUCAAGGCGCCAGGGAGGCCUGGGCCAUGGUGAAGACGCGGUACCCGAAGGCUGACCCAAACCACAUGGCCGAGGUCGGACCUGUGGGGCCUGAUGGGAAGGAGAUCCCUGUGAGCUUGAUGUACGGCCAAGUAGAGCUGGCCGCGAAAUAUUCCCAACAGGACUGUAAAUUAGACAGCCUGUUAGAUGGGAUUGAAGAGGAGUACAAUCAGUCAGUUUGAUGAUGUAAUUUUGAAAUGACAUAUAGAAUGCCUUCUAGCCGGAUUGUAGAUCGUUUGUCUUUGCGGACCUUUUCGCUUCAACCUCGGGACCCAAUAGUCUGGAGUGUGUCCGAAUACCCUUACGGUUAUAAAAGAACCGGGGCAUGCAUGGAGACAAGGCGUCGGGGUCAUAAUUGCUUUAUCAGACAAGUGCCCAACUAGCUAUGUUAUAUUACAUGGUUAGUAAGAAAUAUCUUCCAGGGAGAAUAGUUCCGUUAAGGGUUCCUUUCCCUGGGAGGCAUGCCCUAAAGUGCAUGUCUGGACUGUGAAAAUAGCAGAAAAAGCAUCUGGGGGCAGAUAAAUAAGUAAGUAAUAAAUCAUUUUUCCAGUCACCGACUGAAUUUUCUCUUAAGAACGCUAGCUUUCGGCUUCACCCAGUCUGAGGUACACAUCCGACUGACCCGACAGUAACAAUCGCAGAGGUGCUCCCUUUACCUCCUAGCCGAACAAUCGGGAACGUAGGGGUAAGCACAGGAGCCAGGCAACCCAGCUUGGCCAAAACUUAAGUCAUAUCAAUGCAUAUAAUGGUGAAUAAAAGGUACAUGCGGAAGUAUGACACAUGUGUUGGGCAUGAAGCCCGUAUAAAUAAGCUUCUGUUAAAGAAGCCCCCAGGUAUAAUGAGUGCUAGGAGCACAUCAAGUGUGUGUGAACCAUGCGCAAAUCAGCCUAUCAAAGGUAUUGAAAAAAAAGUGGGAAGAAGGAGGGGGACAAGAGACAGUGAAAAUGUAAAAAGGUGGACGGACGAGUGAGACGAACUCUGAGUUCGGCGUUAGGCGUAGAAUCUUCGGAAACGGGCUGCGUUCCAUGGGUUCGGCUCGAGUCGGUUGUCAGAUGCGUUGCGUAGACGGUAUGCUCCGCCGGUCAGGACUUGGUCGAUGAUGAAGGGACCUUCCCACUUGGGCUUAAGUUUGUCCUUUUUCUUGUCCGGUAGGCGUAGAACAAGUUCGCCAAUGUUGUAAGUUUUUGGCCCGUACUUCUCUGCUUUGAUAUCUUCGAGCCUGCUGCUGAUAAAAUGCGGAACGAGCUUUUGCCAUGUCCCGCUCCUCCUCUAAGGCGUCCAAACUGUCCUGCCGAUCCAACUCGGCUUCUCUUUCUUCAUACAUGCGCACGCGAGGUGAGUCAUGAAUUAUAUCGCAGGGCAGAACUGCCUCUGCGCCGUACACCAUGAAAAAUGGUGUGAAUCCGGUAGUUCGGUUUGGCGUGGUCCGCAGCCCCCAGAGUACGAAGUCGAGCUCCUCUACCCAGUGCGUGUUAGAUUCCUUGAGGGACCGCACUAGUCUGGGUUUGAUGCCACUCAUUAUUAGACCAUUUGCUCGCUCGACUUGACCAUUAGUUUGGGGGUGAUAGACUGAAGCGUAGUCAAGCUUGAUGCCCAUGUUUUUGCACCAGAGUUUAACCUCGUCGGCUGUGAAAUUCGUGUCGUUAUCAGUGAUGAUGCUGUGGGGGACGCCAAAACGGUGUACUACCCCGGAUAUGAAGUCUAUCACAGGUCCGGAUUCUGCCGUUUUAACCGGCUUGGCCUCAAUCCAUUUGGUGAAUUUGUCCACCAUGACCAAUAAGUAUUUGUGCUUGUGGGUUCCCCCUUCAAGGGGUCCAACCAUGUCAAGCCCCCAGACCGCGAACGGCCAGGUGAUGGGUAUAGUUUUGAGGGCGGUGGGUGGCAUGUGGCUCUGAUUAGCAAAGAGCUGGCAACCAACGCAUCGUUGGACUAAGUCCUGAGCAUCUGCCCGGGCUGUCGGCCAAUAAAAUCAUGUACGGAAGGCCUUGCCUACAAGGGCCUGGGCUACAGUGUGGUGCUCGCCGAGUCCGGCGUGAAUUUCAGCCAGGAGAUUUCGCCCUUCCUCUUCAGAGAUACACCUUUGAAGGACUCCGGUUGUGCUUUUUUUAUAAAGUUCUCCCUCAUGGACCUUGUAGGCUUUAGAUCGCCGAACUAUGCAGCGGGCCUCAUUUUGGUCUUCGGGAAGUUCCUGCCUGAUUAAGUAGGCUAGGAAUGGUUCCGUCCACAGGGCAAUUACUGCCAUUAUUUCGUGGGCUGAAGGUGUUAUUUCAUUGUCUGAGCCGCCGAUUGUGUCAGAGUGGUCUGAGUUAGGUGAGGCAGCUGGCUCCGGAUUGUUAUUUCCGGACUCCUCUUCCCAUAAUAUGAAUGGCUUAAAGAGCCGUUUUGCGCCGAUGCGUGCCAACACGUCUGUUGCCUGGUUAUUAUCCCGGGCUACAUGGUGGAAUUCGAGUCCUUCGAACCGAGCUGACAUUUUUAGGACGGUGUUGCGGUAAGCUUCCAUUUUCGGAUCUUUGGCGUCAAAGUCUCCAUUUACUUGGGAUAUUGCAAGGUUUGAAUCCCCGCGCACCUCUAGGCAUUGAAUGCCCAUGGAGAUUGCCAUCCGGAGGCCGUGUAGAAGGGCCUCGUAUUCGGCUGCGUUGUUGGAGUCCAUGUACAUUAUUUGAAGUACGUAUUGGACUGUGUCUCCAGUUGGGGACGUCAAGACGACGCUAGCCCCCAAGCCAGCCAACAUUUUGGAUCCAUCGAAAUGCAUGAUCCAAUUGGAGUACGCGCCGUACUCUUUAGGGAGUUCGGCUUCGGUCCAUUCAGCGACGAAGCCAGCCAGAACUUGCAACUUUAUAGCUCGCCAUGGUUUGUAGGUUAUGUCAAAUGGUAAGAGCUCAAUGGCCCAUUUUGCAAUCCUGCCCGUUGCGUCACGAUUGUUUAUAAUAUCGUUGAGAGGUACUUCGGAGGCCACCGUUAUGGAACACUCUUGAAAGUAGUGUCGCAGCUUCCGGGAUGCAAUGAACACCGCAUACGCUAUCUUUUGAUAAUGUGGGUACCGGGACUUGCAUGGAGUUAAGACAGUGGAUACGUAGUACACUGGCUUUUGAAGAGGGAAUCUGUGCCCUUCUGUUUCUCGUUCGAUGACGAGUACCGCGCUGACAACUUGAUGUGUUCCUGCUAUAUAUAAUAACAUAGGUUCGCCAGGUUGGGCGCGGCCAGGACCGGAAUUGUUGCCAGUAUGGCCUUUAUUUCUUCGAGUCCGACCGUGGCAGCAUCCGUCCAUUCGAAGUGUUCGGUGCGCCGGAGGAGGCGAUAGAGGGGCAGAGCCUUUUCUCCCAAAUGGGAGAUGAAGCGACUUAGAGCCGCUACGCAUCCAGUUAGUUUUGUAUUUGCUUGAGGUCUUUUGGAAUAUCCAAUUGUGACAGAGCUCGGAUCUUGGCUGGGUUUGCUUCAAUUCCUCUACCGGAUACAAUGAAGCCCAAGAGCUUUCCGGCUGGUACUCCGAAGACACAUUUUUCCAGGUUGAGCUUAAUGUCGUAUGCUCGGAGGUUGUCAAAUGUCAUCCUCAAGUCGUCUACUAGAAUUUCGACGUGUUUGGUCUUGACGACCACAUCGUCUAUGUAUGCCUCCACUGUUUUGCCUAUCUGGGUAGCCAGACAUGUCUGAAUCAUGCGCUGAUAUGUUGCGCCGGCGUUUUUGAGUCCGAAGGGCAUUGUGUUGAAGCAGAAUGGCCCAUAUGGAGUAAUGAAUGCCGUUGCGGCCUGGUCUUCUUCCGCCAUCUUGAUUUGAUGGUAUCCGGAGUAUGCAUUGAGGAAGCACAAUGAAUCGUGCCCUGCGGUAGCAUCGAUGAUUUGGUCGAUGCGAGGGAGAGGGAAAGGGUCCUUUGGACAGGCCUUGUUAAGGUCUUUAAAAUCGACACAGAGGCGCCAGGAUUUGUCCUUUUUUGGUACCAUUACUAGGUUGGCUAGCCAGUCUGGAUGUUUUAAAUCUGUGAUGAAUCCGGCUUCUAAGAGUUUGGCUAGCUCCUCUCCCAUUGCCUGUCUUUUGGGUUCGGAAAAUCGCCGAAGAGCUUGUUUGACUGGCUUGAAUCCUUUUAGGAUAUUUAGGUUGUGCUCUGCCAGCCUGCGUGGGAUUCCUGGCAUGUCUGAAGGGUGCCAGGCAAAAAUGUCCCAAUUUUCCUGGAGGAAUUCUUGUAGUACGGCUUCUACAUCAGGAUUUAAUUGUGCCCCAAUGGAGGCCGUCUUUGUGGGGUCCGUUGGAUGGACCUGAGAUUUGACUAUUUUGUCUGCUGGUUUAAAAGAGGUGGACUUGGACCUCUUAUCGAGUAUCACAUCGUCCCUAUCCACCAUGGAGCGCAGCGCAGUUAGUUCCUCUGCCGCUAGGGCUUCGGAUAAUGCCUCUAGGGCCAGUGCGGCUGUCUUAUUUUCAGCGCAGAGUGCUGUAUAUGGAUCACUGGCGAGAGUGAUUAUUCCAUUGGGUCCUGGCAUUUUGAGCUUCAUAUACCCGUAAUGGGGUAUAGCUUGGAAGAUUGUGAAUGCCUCUCGCCCGAACAAAGCGUGGUAUCCGCUGCCGAAUGGGGCCACUUGGAACGUGACCUCUUCGGACCUGUAAUUGUCCGGCGAGCCGAACACUACAUCUAGUGUGAUUUUUCCUGUGCAGCGUACUUCUCGACUAGGGAUUAUUCCCCUGAAGGUUGUGCUGCUUCGCUCAAUGCGGCUCCAGUCAAUUUCCAUUUUUUGAAGGGUUUCCUCGUAGAUGAGGUUUAAUCCGCUGCCGCCAUCCAUGAGUACCUUGGUAAGACAAAAGCCGUCCACUAUCGGGCUGAGGACCAAUGCGGCUGGUGCUCUAGCUGUUCGGAAUUUAGGUUCGUCGCUGGCAUUGAAGGUCAUAGCCGUGUCGCUCCAUGGAUUUGUUGUUGCUACUUGGUAGACUUCGGCGAGGCUGCGGAUUGUUCGUUUCUGCAUGUUAUUUGAUGCGAAACUCUCGAAGACUGUUAAUACCGUACUGGUACUGCUGGGCUGGUUGCCCGAGGCUAAAAAGCCUUCGCCACUUUUGGCCACCUGCCGUAGUAUCCAACAUGCUCGAAGGCUAUGUGUUGGAGUGGCGCUCUCCGUGCUGUGGAUUUUGCAGGGUCCGUUGAGCCAUCCCUCCAGUACGGUUCCAUACCCUUUAGGGGGUUUUUGGUUUUUGGUUUUUAACCCAGGUGCUUGAGUAUGACACACCCUUUUAUUUUGGACUGGGGUUGUAUUCAGGGCCGGAUUGUCCCAAAACCUAGUUUCGGUUUUCCAGGCACUCUUCAUCGCGCAGUAUUUUUGUACAAUGGUCGCUAGGUCGGCAAAGCGUGUAACUUCGCAACGACUGAUGGCGUUUAUGAUUCCCUUGUCCAUGCAAUUGUUGCAGAAAAUUGAAAUCGCGCUUUCUUCACGACAGUCCUUUAUCCUGUUCAUAACCAGGAGGAAUCUGGCCCAGUAAUGAUGUACUGUUUCAUCAGGCUCUUGCCGUAUUUGAGAUAGAUCGCUUAUGUUUGGGUGGGCGGGUGGAAUUAAGUUCGGAACCCCGCCCGAUCUGAGGCUCAAAGGCCAAGAAGCUUCCGGAUUCGGAAGCUUGGUUUGCUGGAUGCUUUCCAACAAAUCUGGUCCGAUGCCUGACUUUAGGUUCAGUAUUUGAUUAGCUUCUGUCCCUCCGCGGGAAUCCGGCAUGGAGGGAUCGGGAAUCCAGACAUAGUUGGUUUUUAUCAUAGAAGAAGAGUCGCCGCAUUGUUCCUCUAACACAACAACGUGGUGGGUAACCUGGGGAGAGUUAAUUUCUCUCAGAUCAGUUUUAAGCCCAAUCUGAUCGUAGUCGGUAGCGACUCCCAGGGCGGCGAUGCAAUCCAAGAGAUCAUUUAUGGAGGAGAGCUCAAUCGGAUCUAGCUGCUCGGCGAAUUCCGAGCUGACGUGAAGAUCGCUUUUAAUGACCCGAGAGGUCAUUGUCGGAGCGGUGGCCGAACAGGCGGUCAUAAGAAAACCGCCUAGCCGGAUAGUCUGGCCGGCGGCCAAAGCUCCCUUGACGACGGUGCCGUCUUUAAAGAAGGGAAAAGGCAUCCUUCCUGAUGGUGACGGCACAGAGGAACUCUCAAUGAAAGCACCACUGUCGGUGUCAAAACCGGCGGAUCUCGGGUAGGGGGUCCCGAACUGUGCGUCUAGGCGGAUGGUAACAGGAGACAAGGGACACGAUGUUUUACCCAGGUUCGGGCCCUCUUGAUGGAGGUAAAACCCUAUGUCCUGCUCGAUUAAUAUUGAUGAUGUGUGUUACAAGAGUGGAUCUACCACGAGAUCAAGGAGGCUAAACCCUAGAAGCUAGCCUAUGGUAUGAUUGUUGUUCGUCCUAUGGACUAAAGCCAUCCGGUUUAUAUAGACACCGGAGAGGGCUAGGGUUACACAGAGUCGGUUACAAUGGUAGGAGAUCUACAUAUCCGUAUCGCCAAGCUUGCCUUCCACGCCAAGGAAAGUCCCAUCCGGACACGGGACGAAGUCUUCAAUCUUCUCUCUUCAUAGUCUUGGAGUCCGGCCGAUGAUGAUAGUUCAGCUAUCCGGACACCCCCUAGUCCGGAACUCCCUCAAUAACGCUUAUUGUGCUUUGCAAGAAAUGAUCUUUGAGAAUUAGUUUUUGAGUAUCGAUUGUUAUACAUGUUGGCUACAGAUGACAUGGCAAUUUCUUAUAAUCAAUAGUUGGCUAUACUAUUAAGUAACAUUAACCAUGCCCUUAUACACCUAGACGGAGGGAUUAAAUCAGGAUGGCUUGGAGGGGGUAGAGGAGAUGUAAGAAAUGGUUCAUAGUAAGUCUUUCACCAGUACUGUAGUAAAAGUUCAUACAUGGAAGAUUCAAGACUAAACCAUAAACGGAUACACUUUUAUUCAUGCGCGAUACUCCAAUAGAGCAAGAUCAUGCAUGGAAGUUUCCACAUGCUUAAAUAGUGGUUUACGUUGAGCGAAGACUAUUGAUCAACAUUUAACUUGAUAAUGCGUAUGUCUAGGUGAAUCUCCUUGGAGUCACCGUGCACCGUGUCGGCGGGUAAAAGAUGCCAUGGGUUUUCCAAGUCCACAUCGGCGGGAAAGUCCCAGCUCCGCAGAGUCCAAGUCCGUUCGAUGAGGUCGGUGUCGCCGCCCACAUGACCCGGAGGGGUAGUAACACUGACCACGCACCCGUACAUCGGCCUCGUGUCAGUGUCAGUGUCAGCGGCAUCGCCCCUGAUGCACACUAUAGAGACGGGGUGCCGGUCUGCGUGGGCCUCGCCGGUGCCCACGAUCAAGAGGAAUACGAUGCCGUCCUCCUCCGAGACUAGUAGGCAGCGGUGAUCUUCCAGCGACUCCAGCAUGGUGAACGGGUAGCACGUCUCAUACUUGAUGUUCUCCACCAAGGGCCAGUAGUGACCGCUGCUAGCAUCCGUGAGGUGAUGCACCAUGUCCGCCGGCAAGCCCCAAAAUGGCAUCGGGCACUCAUAGCAGUAGACGAAGGGCUCCUUGGAGGCAUCGACCACGCCGUCCAUGAAACGGGAGUGGCUGUAGGGGAUGUUGGGCCAGUUGAAUAUAUGAGCAAGUUACUACGAGAUUUAAUCCGAAUAAGCACAAAAUAAAUCAUGACGGCUAUAACAGAGAUGAAACUAAUCAUGUGGACUAGCAUAGUAGUAGGAUACAGAGUAGAAACAUGAAUUCUACCAUGAUUUCGAACAAGAAGGACAGAAACACAUACGGUGCAACGGGACCAGCACCGUUGGCGUUGAGGUUGUCGCCCAUGUCAUUGAGGAAGAGGUUGCCGAGGUCGGGGAAGAAUUCGUCGUCGAUGAAGUCGUGGCUGCCAGCAGUCGCGAGAGUGCGCUCCUGUCAGGACCCCGAUCCUAUGCCACACCGAUCUAGCAUGUAACACCUCAUAUCACUUUGCGGCCUCACGCACGGUAUUCCCACGGGUGUCGCCUUACCAGGCCCGGGACCGUUUGCGCCUUUUGGCUCACGUAUAUGAUAGUGUCGCUAGCAUCCAUAUGACAAAGAACCUGGGCUGACAUGGCUAGCCGUGAACUCAAAGUGGCACUAACUUAUAGGGACAGGCAUACAUGACCCAGCAACGAACGUGUCGGUCAUCAGCGAGUGAAUCCGGGUUGUAGCACUGGGCUAGCAGGACUCCGAUGAAGCGGGCUGUAGCGGGCUAACAGGACUCCGGUAUUCAUCGCGUGACAUUUCCCCGAAGGGACAGACACAGGAACGAAGAAGGACACACGCCGGCCAGCUUAAGUGUUCCGGAGCAGUAGCAAGCUACCAUGGCUCAGUGGAAGCACUAGGAGACAUUUCCCAGUAAGAGAGGCUACUAAGGAUAAACAACUAGAUAGUCAGAUCCCACACAUACCAAGCAUUUCAAUAACAUACACACAAUAUGCUUGAUAUGUGCAAAUACAACAUGGCAUCACAACAUGACUCUACAACUCAAGUAUUUAUUCAAUAGGCUCCGAGGAGCGAGAUAUUACAAACAUGGGUCUCUCGACCCAGCAUUCAGAGCAUACAAGUCAAAGCACAAACGGAGGCUUAACAUGUCUGAGUACAGACAUCUACAAAUGAAAAAGGCUGAGAAGCCUGACUAACUACCAGAUCCUGCCGAGGGCACAAGAUCGUAGCUGAGGUAACAAGCUAAACGUCGAAGUCCACGCGGAACUACUAGUGAGACUGAAGUCUCUCUGCAAAAACAUAAAAUAGGCAAACGUGAGUACAAAUGUACCCAGCAAGACUUACAUCAGAACUAACUACAUAUGCAUCAUUAUCAACAAGGGGAUGGUGGGGUUUAACUGCAGCAAGCCAGCUUUGACUCGGUGGCUAUCCUGAACUAUGACUGCAAGUAACUCUUUUGAGGUGGCGCACACGAGUCCACAUAUUCACCAUAUCAAUACACCACUAUGGAUCCGCUCCCGUCUCCCUACGAGAACGCCAUCCAUAGCACUCACACUUAUCUUGCGUAUUUUAGAGUAUCCACUUUCACUUGUCUAUGAACUGUACAGGCAACCCAGAAGUCCUUUUCCGUGGACAUGGCUAUUCGAAUAGAUGAUGUUAACCCUGCAGGGGUGUACUUCUUCACACACGCUCUCACGACUUACCGCCGUUUACAUGACAUGUACUUGGCAACCUUCAAGCGGAAGCCCAGCGAGGGUGUCGGCCACGGCCUACCUAAACACUCAAGUCUCUAGUCCAGGUUUAUCGCCUAUUCGGGUUCCAUCCGCGAGGAGAUCCGGCCGGGGUUUCGCUCACAGCCCCAAACGAUGUGUGCAGGGUUCCCGAGACACCAAACGGGCGCCCGGUACACCGUGCCACGGUGUAUCUACCGCAUCAUAGCCCACCCCUAGGGUCAGUGCUACGCACGGCCUCCAACACAUAUCCUACAAACACCAGAAACUAGUUGCAACUCCUGGACAGAGAACAAGGGUGAUUAAGAAGCCGAGAGGGUCCAUUGGUUUCGGGCCCAAUGCGUGGUAGUAGCUGUUUCAUGGAUCACAAACACAGAACUCAGUUCCUGAGGACGGCUUCAAUGAGACAACCCACCAUGUACUCCUACAUGGCCUCUCACCGCUACCUUUACCAAAUCGUGUUCACACACUUAGCUCACACACAGUAGGACAUGUUCACACACCUCUAAUUCAUCCCCGAUGAAUCAGACCUAACUCAACUCUAAGCAGUAGCAGGCAUGACAAACAAGCAUGAAUAAGUAGGCACAACAGGGCUCAAACAACUCCUACUCAUGCUAGUGGGUUUCAUCUAUUUACUGUGGCAAUGACAGGUCGUGCAGAGGAUAAAGGGGUUCAACUACCGUAGCAAGUAACAGAUGAAUCGUUGUUGUCCUAAUGCAGUAAAAGAGAGCAGGAGCGAGAGAGUGGGAUUGUUUUGGAAUGAACAAGGGGGUUUUGCUUGCCUGGCACUUCUGAAGAUAGCAUUGAGUCUUCAUCAGUGUCAACGAUCACAACGUCGGAACAUCGUCUACCGAGAGGGGACAAGCACCGACAAACAAAGGAGAAGCACAAUCAAUGCAAUGCACAAUAUGAUGCAUGAUCAUGACAUAGCAAUAUGAGUGUGUUGGCCUAAUGCAACUAAUAGCGAUUUAAAUGAAGUUGGUUUGAAUACUGGAUUCAAAUUCAAACUCCAUAUGUGAUUAUUCAAAUGGCAUUUAAUGAUUUGGCCUAAACAGGAGCCAUAAGUUGUUCUAACAUGCAUGAAAAUGGUACAGAUGGAUAGAUUGGAUUUUUCUGAUCAUUUUUCAUAUAUAAAUUAUUUCAUUUGGAGUUACGGUUGAUUUUCUAUGAUUUUUUAGAAGUUUGUACUAUUUUCUGGAAUUUUCUGUAUAAGAAUAAUUCCAGUAAUUGAAUUAAUGCGUCAGCACUGCGUCAGGGUGACGUCAGCGGUCAACGGGGCGGUCCAGGUCAAACUGACCAGUGGGUCCCGUUUGUCAGUAGUUAGUUAAACUAACUAAAUUUAGUUAGCGCUAACCCUGGGUUAGUUAGCAGGGCGGGCCCCACCUGUCAUGGACCCAAGGGUCAAGCUGGGCCCACCCGGUCAACUUGGUCAGCGGGGUCAAACCCGCCGGACUUGGUCCACGGCUCGUCGCCGGUGAAGCCCGAGACGGCGGAGGGGGUCGGAAUUUUCCCACGGUCGACCAAAUCGAUCGCGGUGACGACGUUCGGGGGCGUCCGGUGCCGCGUGGCUCGGCUGAGAGGAUGAGGGCGACGAGGCGGAGCUCUUGAGCCAGUCAGGGAAGCAAGGGGGGGCGGUGGCCGCGGUGGUGCACGUUGGCAGCGGCGGGCGUGUUUGGGUGGUGCGAGGGGGAGAGCCAGAGGAGGGGAGGAGGUCUAGCGAGAGAGGAGAGGUGCAGAGGGUCGAGGGGGGUGCGUGGUGUCGUGGGGUUGUCCAGGCCCUCGGCGGCAAGCAGGAGGUGGCGGGAAGAUGUGGCCACAGUCGCUCGCGUGCGGGCACGCAGCUGCUUCGGGGCGAGGGGAGGAAGACGACGGAGGGCUGCGGUGGUGGGCUGGGUCAGUUUGCCAGGCCGCCAGCUGGGCUGCACGGUUGAGGCCAGGUAAGAUUCUCUCUCUCUUUUAUUUGUUUCUGUUAUCUAUUUUUCUCCCUCUGUUUUGAUUUAGUUUAGCAACUAAAUCAUUUUAAUAAAUUCUGUAGGUUAUUAUAUACCUUGCUAAAAUAUAUACAAAGCCACUCACAAACUUCCAGAAUUAUAGGACUCAUAUUUAAUAUAUAUUAAAUAUAAAUCCAAAGCAAAUAGUUAUUGGAUUAAUUCAAAUGGCCAAAAUAAAUAUUUCUGUGACUCCAAAAAUAUUGGUUUGAAUUUUACCUCUUACCAAUAUUUCUAUAGAAUAACAGGAACAUUUUCUUGGACUCAUUUGAGAAGAUUUAAAUGUUGGUUAUUUUUAGAGGUUUUCUGAGGCUUUUGAAAAUUCCUCAAUUCAAGUUUCAUUUGAAUUUAAACAUGAUGCACACAUGAAGCUAGCCUGGGUCAGACCAGAAUUUGGGAUGUGACAGCUCCCCAAAUUUCAACAGCGCUCGCCGAAUGCAGCGCAAGAGGGAGUGGUUGUAGGGGACGUUGCGGCCGCCGAAUGGAGCGCAGGAGUAGCAUACGAAGCAUUAGAUGGUGUCCUUACUAGUACUCCCUAGUCUCUAUCUAUCUAUAUCUACUCUUAUAGAAAACCGAGCUGGUGAUGAUGGUAUGCCUGCCAUCCUGUAAUAUAGACAGGUCUGAUCUAUAUCUGACGGAUAGAAAGCCAACUAUGACAAUUUUACAAAAGAUACCCGCACCUCUCUCCACAUUUACAGAUAAGGCCUUGCCUCGUUCAUCCUUAUCUCCCACAACCUCGUGCUCCUCCCUAAGUCUCUAUCUCUACUACUCUUCUUUGUUUUUUAUAACAAAUCAAAUAGUAUUGCAUUGUCCGCUGCACGCCCGGCUGAACACGCCUCCUCGCCUCCAUCAUCACCAACUAAGUCUUUUAUAGGAGUAGGAGUAGAGAAAAAACCGAGUUGGUGAUGAUGGUGUGUCGUGCAAUGCAUGGGCAUCUUGCUAUUUUUUUGCAUAUAAUUCCAAACACCACGUAGACAUGGUCUCUGAGCACGCUUCGUAGUCGUUCCACGCUCGGGCAUUGAAGUUUGUAACUAUUUUAGAUUAGAAUAUACUACUCCUCCGGUGCUAGUAGUAGAGCAGAGUCCUACUCUACUACUCUACUCAAGCAAGUUAGGGCAUAGUACUGUGGUAGGUACUAUAGGGAGUACCAAUACUGUGAUCACUCAAGCAAGUUGUCUGGCAUCGAUAUGACCCUACGCUACUGGUAUGUGUCUCGUAAGUCAACGGCGUGCUGUAGUCAUCAUCACCUGUCCACUUCCCGCAGAACAUAUUCGCUUCUCCAUCUUUGUCCGCACAUAAUCUCGUCCAAUCUUCUAUCCCCGCUAAGGCACCUCCCCCCCCCCUCGUCCGAAACCCAAGCACUAACAAUGGCAGAACCCAGCAGUGUCCGCCGAAAGAGUGGCUGGAAUUCGCUCCCCACAGAGGUAAUCAAGCUCAUUGUUUCGCGUGUGGACAAUCUCAGUACCAUGCCGCUCGCCGCAUGCUCGUCGGGGCUGUACCAUUUACUCAAAGCCCUCAGGCCGGAGCUUUUUAAGCCAGCUCCUUGCUUGUUGAUGCCGUCUGAUCUUCAGAAAUGGCAUGUCACGCAGCAUAACGAUCGUAGGGUGGCGAGCAUCAACCCCCUUGACUGCAAUCCUAUCCCCGUCACCCUCAACUACAUUAACAGUAUGUACUGGGUCGGCAUGAACACGUCUUGGAUGGUGCUCGUCGACGGUCGCGGCAGCUGGAUGCUGGUGGAGGUCGACACCCGGUGAUUCAUCACCCUUCCUUCGAUUAACACUGCACUGCUUUGGCACUCCGGCCCAGAAUACUCGGAAUCUUACAGUAGCCAACAUGAUACCAGGUUUGAUUUGCUCAAGGUUGUGAUCUGCCAAGUGCCACAAGAUCUACGAAUUAUAAAGACUUCAGGCUAAUUGUGUUCUUCAACCGCGGUCUCGCCAAUCUGACAGGUCACUGCGGUAAGUGGAUAAAUCUGCACGUCCAUCGCAGGAUCAUACAUCCUCCAUGGUUCUCUAAUGCUAUUGAACACAAGGGCUUCAUUUACGCUGUCGACUCCUUCUAUGGCUGGACGUAUUGCUGGCCUACUCCAGUCAUCGCUACAAUCGGCUGUUACAGCAGUAUGUUACUUUCCUAUGAUAUCAUGAUGGCUUGCUUAUAUUACUGUCAACAUUUACUGAAAAAAUAUUCAUAACAUGCUAUUCUUAAGAUUGACUAAAUCAAGAGCCCUUUUUUAUUUGACUCCAACUUGAUAUGAUGUUGUAGGCCGCCUGGUGUCCGUACCCUUCCUAAUCCCAGAACCUUUCAAAGAAAAGCGGCAUGGCAGUUGCACGUGGUUCCUGGAUCGAUCAGACGACGGCGAACGAUUGAUGAUCGUUCACACGUACCGGACGUGUUGUUUCGCGGAAUACAAUCAUAUUCACUGCAAGGUCUUUGAGCAGGAUCCCAGCUUCGCUGGGCCUUCAAGAAUUUUUGACUGGAGGCUGGUAAGUAGCCUUGGUACACGCUCUCUGUUUGUCGGACUGAAUUAUCCGAUUAACCAGGAGAUAACCGACGGCAAGGAUCAUGAUGGCAGUGUGGUUUCGUUCAUCAGGAAAAACUGUGUGUACACAGCGUACCAUGUGUCUCUGCGUGCACCGUACCCUGAUAUGUGCCGCCACGCUCUGCAGCCCAAAGUAGGAGAGAGGGUCGCAAGUAUCAGACUUCGAACUGCUGGCUGGAGUUUCCCCCGUCAGGCACCCAUCUGGUUCAAGCCGUCAGCCAAUCUCCACAGCUUAAUAAAUAGUAACAUCUAACUGAGCCAGUUAGUUAGAUGCAUACACUUGGUGUAGUAGGAUCUUUAUUUAGUUUGAUGCAUACACUUGUUAUUUUUUGGUAGCCCUUUUGUAAUAAUGGCUUAUGUUUGGUUUGGAAGAGAGAGUUGCGUCUUCACUCUUCUGGCCUGCUUACUGCUUUUGUUGCACCCCCAGCCCUGGUUGCUGCUGCUGUUUUCAAUGUACAAUCAGUAGUAUAUUUCGUCUGUUGGUUAAAUAAAUGUGUUGUUAGAACGACAAACACAAUGUUUUGGAAGUCCUUGCACGGUUCGAUCCUUAGUGCCCCGUACCGUACGUAACGCAUACUAUUUUUUGUACGGAACACAUUUUCCACUUGUUGAUAACAUGCAGCCCACUGAUGAAGGCCCAAUAGAGGAGCCCAUAUUUAACUGGAAAGAAGGCUCUCACAUGAAUCCGGCCCAGGUACAUGCUCAUGGUCCCCUAAACAUAAAUAAGUAAAUAAAUAAAUAAAGCUAAAUGCUCAUGCACCAGUUCCUUAAAUUCAUGAUUUAACAGGAGGAUAUUAUUUCCUAUGAUAGUGCCGUUAUAUUCAGUCGAUAUUAUUCUUAGGCAAAGAUAGCGACCAGUCUUCUUUCUCCCAGUAUUUUCUUCCUACAACCAGCGGACCCAUGCAAAUCAUACUCAACGUUGUAAAUAGUUCCGGUCCAUUUUUUUCAAUAAGAAUGUCCAACCGAGCCCAGCACAUUGGCGACAGCACUUUAUCCUCCGCCUUGGUGCGCUCGCCGCGGCGCCGCCGUCCGGCCCUGUCAACAUAGUUUUUUUUUAAACGGUCCCUGUCAACAUAGUGAAUCGGGAGAGAACUGUAGUUGUGAGUAUGACAGUACGGACCCACCAGGUCCACUCCCGAACACAAGCAAGUGCCUCUUUUACUACUCAGAUGCACCCCUCGUUUUUUACUCUAAUCCACCCUGCUGAUAUCCGGGGCCCACAUCAUUUUUAACGUAUAGUCAAUUAACGACAGAAUUGCACAACUUUUUUUGAGUAGUAAUUCGGAGGAGCAGGCUAUAAACUGGGUUGUGUGGUCUCUGUGGCCCGUCUAACAACAUGACCAGCCCAGCAGGUUUUUCUUUGGGAAAAUAGGUAGCCCAAUAUUUCUUUUUGAAGAAUACCCAAGCUAGGCCUAUUUGGUUUCUUUGACUUACUGGGCUGCAAAUCUUUCAAGACAAGGAGGGAUGCAUUCCGGCCUGGCCAAAGAGUAUGGUCAGUGUAUGUUAAAAGUAAUAUCAAAGGGGUUGAAAAUUCCAAAAAAUUAUAGCAAAUGGGAUAUUAGUUUCUUUUUUUGUUUUUGUUCUUCACUGAUAUUUUAUAGUAUUUCAUUGGAUUUAACAUGACAUAGUACUAAUUUAUUUUUAAAUUUGUUUUAGUAUGGCUACUAAUUUUUGGAUUAAGAAUAUUUUGUUCCCCAGCCAAAAUUUGCAAAUUUUCAAAAUUUCGCACAUAUUUUUAGUUAAUUUUUUUAACCCUGGUACUGACCAGAAAAUUGGUAGCAAUUCUAAAAAUGGAAAAUGGGCUGCAAUAAUUUCCAUAUGAAUUAUAAAAUGAGUAAAAAUUAUAAAAAUAAUAGCAAAUGGGCUAUACAUGACACAGAUUUCGAGGUUGACUUGUUUACGCAAGGCUUUGUCAGUCAACACACGAUUCUAGCAGUAGUGACUGUUUGAUGUCCAUCCAACGGACGACGUGCUUCUUCAAUCUCUGAUCUUCCUACUCCAGCCGCCUAAACUAGCGCCGGUGGGACUACCUGCUCCCUCCUCUUGUGGCCCGCUGUGAUGCCGCGCAGGCUUCCCUGGCCCACCCUACUCCCUCCGCUAGCAUGGCCGCACGCAAUCAACUGCCUCCUUAUUACCCGAAAAAAAUGAUUCCUCCCACUGACAUCUGUGGCGCACCGGUUGGGAGGCUGACCUGUGGGCCUACUAAGUUGACGCGUACGCAGGGCUUGUCAACUUAGUCAACAAAUGAUUGUAGCGGGAGUAACCGUUGGAUUUGAAUCGAACGGUCAUGCUGCUUCUUCAAGUGCUGCUCUUCUUGCACCAGCCGCCCAAACCGGCGCCGGCGAGACCGCCUGCUCCUGCCUCCAGUGGUCGGCUGUGCUGCCGUUGAGGCCUCACCGCCCCCUACUACUCCCACCGCUAGCCAAGCCCUGCAGCGACGGCAGCCUCACACUGUAGCCGAACCAGUGAACCCUCCUACUCCUCUACGCGUGGGCAUCCACUGUCACGUCUUCCCCAGCAACGCGUCGUCCCCUUCCUUCCUAGGCCUCGCCGUCGUCCAUCGACCUGGUGCUCUCGGCGUGGCGUGGUCAACGUGGUCAAGGAACGACUUCCAUCGAAAGAGUACCGUACGUGCAGAGGCUGACAGUUGGGUCCACGGCAGCCGCAAGGAAGUGCCUCCUUAUUAGGCGCAAAAUAAUUAUUCCUCCACCUGACAGCAGGGACCCACCGGACGGGCCACCAGUAUUUUGCAAAAAAAAACAUUUCCCCCUGGCUACUGGGACCCACCGGACGGACCGCUGUAUUUUGCGGAAAAAAUGUUUCCCCCGCUGUCAGCUCGGACCCACCGGAAGUGCCUCCUUAUUACGCACAAAAAAAAUGAAUACUAACCGGCUAGCUGGGACCCACCUUGGUGGGAGGCUGACUUGUGGGCCUACUAAGUUGACGGGGACGGAGGGCUUUGUCAACUUAGUCAAUAUGAAUGAUUCUAGCUCCAGUGACCGUACGAUGUCCAUCCAACGGCCAUAGUGCUUCUUUAACCUCUGGUCUUCGUGCUCCAGCCACCCAAAGCAGCGUCGGUCGUGCCGCAUGCUCCUGCCUCCCGUUGCCGGUUGUGAUGCUGCGGACGCCUCACCGCCGUCUACUACUCCCACCACUGGCCAGGCCAUCCCUCUACUCACCCACACCCCCUAUUAUUCUGCGGCGACGGCAACCUCACAUCGCAGCCGAACCAGUGAACCCUCGUACUCCUCUUCGCGUGGGCAUCCACUGUUGUGUCUUCCCCGGCUCCGCGUCGUCCCCUUCCUAGGCCUCGUCGUCGUCCACCGCCAUGGUGAUCUCGGCGUGGCGUGGUCAACAUGGUCAAGGAACGGCUUCCAUCGGGCGUGGACUGUACGUGGAGAGGCUGGCAGCUGGGUCCACGGCCGCAGCUAGGAAGUGCCUCCUUAUUACGCGCAAAAGAAUUAUUCCUCCACCUGACAGCGGGGACCCAGCGAACGGGCCACCAUAUUUCGUGAAAAAAAUGUUUCCCCCUGACUGCUGGGACCCACAAGCUACAUCUCCGCGCGCAAGGAAGUGCGUUCGGGCAAAAAAAACGAUUCACCCCCCUGACUGCUGGGACCCACUAGCUCCAUCUUCGCACGCAAGGAAGUGCCUGACAGUUGGGACCCACCUGGUCGAAGCAUACGUAGCGUUGUCAUUCUGGUCGCGAACGUGUACGUACAUACUAGUGGAUGUAGAGGCGCGCACGUGUCGUAGUAGAUGCGCGCACGUGUCAUAGUGAGGCGCGUACAUGUUGUAGUAGAGGCACACAUGUAGCAUGUACACGUACGUACAGCGGCCAGUGUGCAAGAAAGAAAAUAUGGCCACGUAUGUGUACAUACGGGCGCGGUCUCGAACGCCUACUCGCGCAUACGUAUGGCCAGGGCUCGUGUACAUGGCUGGGUCGGACCGGAGAAACAGCGUUGUCGUCGUGUUCAUGGGGAGCCAACCGGCUAGGUCGGAACGGAAUGCGUCGUCGUGUUCAUCGGGAGGGCUUGGACGGAACAGGCGAUGGAAAAGAGGCUUGGCGUAUCGUAGAAUGGAGGAAACGACCUUGUGUUCGACCGUCCACGUUCGAAACGGGAUCCUGUUCAUUCGGAGGGGUCUGGCGUACUGCAAAACGGAGGAAACGGACCUCCUACGGUCGAAACGGGGGUCCUGUUGAUCGGGAGGGGUGUGGCGUACCGCAAAACGGACGAAAUGGACUUGUGUUGGAGCGCUACGGUCGAAACGGGGGUCCUGUUCAUCAGGAGGGGUGUGGCGUACCGCAAAACGGGACUCCACGGGAUACUGUUCAUGUCCACCGUCGACCUCCUCUAGCCUCCACGGGCUACCGUCGACCUCCUCCAGCCUCCACGGGCUCCUGUUCAUCCAGCCUCCACCGCGCGCUACUCCACGGGCUACUGUUCAACCACCCCUCCACGGGCACCCCUCCACCAUCUACUGUUCAUCCAGCCCUCCACGGGGUCAUCCUAUUCAUCCAGCCCUCCACGGGGUCCUGUUCAUCCAGCCCCAACCGGCUCGAUCGAGGCAAUGCCACGGGGUCCUGUUCAUCCACCCCCACNNNNNNNNNNNNNNNNNNNNNNNNNNNNNNNNNNNNNNNNNNNNNNNNNNNNNNNNNNNNNNNNNNNNNNNNNNNNNNNNNNNNNNNNNNNNNNNNNNNNNNNNNNNNNNNNNNNNNNNNNNNNNNNNNNNNNNNNNNNNNNNNNNNNNNNNNNNNNNNNNNNNNNNNNNNNNNNNNNNNNNNNNNNNNNNNNNNNNNNNNNNNNNNNNNNNNNNNNNNNNNNNNNNNNNNNNNNNNNNNNNNNNNNNNNNNNNNNNNNNNNNNNNNNNNNNNNNNNNNNNNNNNNNNNNNNNNNNNNNNNNNNNNNNNNNNNNNNNNNNNNNNNNNNNNNNNNNNNNNNNNNNNNNNNNNNNNNNNNNNNNNNNNNNNNNNNCGCUUCAGUUAGCAGCAGUAGUGAAGGAAUUGCUCGAUCGGGUUUAGUUAACAGGCAUCGAUCGAUCACUCGGGUUCAGUAAUGCGUACUCGGGUUCAGUUAGAGCCCAACACCUCGCUUGGGUUUAGUUAGAGCCAACGCCUCGCACACAUGCGUGUACGUGUAUGAGAGAAACGUGCAUCGCUCGGCCCCCGACCACCCACCGUAACCGGGAACUCGCCAAAAUUUUCCUCGCCCUCGCUUCUACCACGGUUUUUUCCGUCAUGGACGGCCCAAAAAAUGUCAUGCAGUUGCGUCUCCGGCCCGCCCAGGACGAAAAGCCCAUUUUCUGUCAUGAUGUUUUGUCAUAGAAGUAGGAGCCCACCACAUCUAUGAUGAUACCGGGUUUUGUCACAAUUAUCGUCACAGAAGUGUCAUAUCUAUGACAGAAAAAAAAUUCGUUUGGCCCAAAAUGUCAUGGAUGUGUCUUUUUUUUGUAGUGAGAGCUAUAAGUUUAUGAAAGAUCAAAAAAGAAAAACUAAGUGGGUGUGUAUCCAACUUGUUUGCUCAUGAAGACCUAGGGAGAUUUGAGGAAGCCUGCUACUUCUUGAGCUUGCGUUGCUUUUUCCCUUAAAGAGGAAAGGGUGAUGUAGCAAAGUAGAGAUAAGUAUUUCCCUCAGUUUGAGAACCAAGGUAUCAAUCCAGUAGGAGACAAUGCAUAAAUCACCGAAUACCUAUGCAAACAAAACUUGGACCCAACGCGAUAAAGGGGUUGUCAAUCCCUUCAUGGUUACUUGCAAAAGUGAGAUCUAGUAGAGAUAGAUAAACGAUAAAGUAAAUAUUUUUGGUUUAUAGAUCGGAAAGUAAAAUAUUAAAAGGAUAGUAGAUUGGACACUAAGAUUGUAGAUCGGAAACUUGUAUGAUGGAAAAUAGACCCGGGGCCAUAGGUUGCACUAGAGGCUUCUCUCAAGAUAGCAAAUAAUAUGAUGGGUGAACAAAUUACUGCCGAGCAAUUGAUAGAAAAGCGCAAAGUUAUGACGAUAUCUAAGGCAAUGAUCAUGAAUAUAGGCAUCACAUCCGUGUCAGGUAGACCAACCCUUGCCUGCAUUUACUACUAUUACUCCACACAUCGACCGCUAUCCAGCGUGCAUCUAGAGUAUUAAGUUUAUAAAGAACAGAAUAAUGCAUUAAAUAAGAUGGCAUGAUGUAGAGGAAUUAACUCAAGCAAUAUGAUGAAAACCCCAUCUUUUUAUCCUCGAUGGCAACAAUACAAUACGUGUCUUGCUGCCCCUACUGUCACUGGGAAAGGACACCGCAAGAUUGAAACCAAAGUUAAGCACUUCUCCCAUUGCAAGAAAAAACAAUCUAGUAGGCCAAAGCUUAACCAAACCAAAUCGAUAGUUCAAAAAGAAUUACAAAGAUAUCAAAUCAUGCAUAUAAGAAUUCAGAGAAGAUUCAAAUAAUAUUCAUAGAUAAGCUGAUCAUAAGUCCACAAUUCAUCGGAUCUCGGCAAACACACCGCGAAAAGGUAUUACAUCAAAGAGAUCUCAAAGAACAUCGAGGAGAACCUGGUAUUGAGAAUCAAAGAGAGAGAAGAAGCCAUCUAGCUACUAGCUAUGGACCCGUAGGUCUAUGGUAAACUACUCACGCUUCAUCGGAAGGGCAAUAGAGUUGAUGUAGAAGCCCUCCGUGAUCGAAUCCCCCUCCGGCAGGGCGCCGAAAAAGAUGCCUAGAUGGGAUGUCACAGGUAUAGAAGGUUGCGGCGGCGGAAAAGUGUUUUCGUGGGAUGCCCCUGAUGGUUUGGGGAUAUAUGGGAAUAUAUAGGUGAAAGAAUUAGCUCAGGAGGCUCAUGUGGGGCCCACAAGGGUGGGGCACGCCCUCCGUCCUUGUGGCCGCCUCGUGGCUCCCCCGACUUCAUCUUCAAGUCUCCCGGUUGUCUUCUGGUCCAAGAAAAAUCAUCGCGAAGGUUUUAUUCCGUUUGGUAUUCCUUUUCUGCGAAACUCAAAAACAAGGAAAAACAUGAAAUGGCACUAGGCUCUAGGUUAAUAGGUUAGUCCCAAAAAUAAUAUAAAAUAGUAUAUUAAUGCAUAUAAAACAUCCAAAACAGAUAAUAUAAUAGCGUGGAACAAUCAAAACUUAUAGAUAUGUUGGAGAUGUAUCAGGAAUGAACUGAUUAAACAAACAUCAAGUAUGCAUCAACUGUGCGACCAGAGAAGUCACAUUGACAAGCCGGGAAGGCCAAACCACACAAUUCUUUGCUCGAUGAAGCAUAUCCAAGAAAGAAAUGGUCUUCGCAGCUUUAGCUGAAGAAUUGGAUCUAAUUCCUAUGGUCAGUGAGUUUCCAGAUGUAUUUCCUGAGGAACUACCAGGGAUGCCGCCAGAUCGUCAGCUUGAGUUUGCAAUUGAUCUUGUGCCCAGGACCGUACCUAUUUACAAGAAGUAUUACCGGAUGCCUUCAUCCGAGUUAGUGGAGCUAAAGAAACAUCUUGAUGAGAUGCUUCAGAGAGGAUACAUUCGUCCUAGUUCUUCACCAUGGGGAUCACCCGCAAUCUUCAUGGACAAGAAAGACGGCAGUCUUCGGAUGUGUGUAGAUUACCGAUAGUUGAAUGAUGUCACAAUAAAGAACAAAUACCCACUUUCAAGGAUUGAUGAUUUGUUCGACCAACUCAGUGGGGCACAGGUAUUCUCCAAGAUUGAUUUGAGAACCGGAUAUCACCAGCUCAGAAUCAAGAAGGAGGAUAUUCCUAAGACAGUAUUCACCACUCGCUACGGUCUUUAUGAAUAUACAGUCAUGUCUUUCGGUCUCAUCAAUGCCCCUGCUUUCUUCAUGCACAUGAUGAACAAAGUAUUCAUGGACUUCUUGGAUAAAUUUGUGGUGGUCUUCAUUGAUGACAUCCUCAUAUACUCAAAAGAUGAAGAAGAGCACAAGGAACAUCUCAGAGCAGUCUUGCAAAGACUCCGUGACCAUCAGUUAUAUGCAAAAUUCAACAAAUGUGAAUUUUGGCUCAAGCAAGUCAGAUUUUUGGGGCAUGUUCUUUCAGCAGAAGGUAUAGUCGUGGAUCCAAGCAAAGUGAACGACGUGCUUAAGUGGCCAGCACCCACGACAGUGACUGAGAUCUGAAGUUUUCUUGGAUUAGCCAGAUAUUACCGUCGAUUCAUUGAAGGCUUCUCAAAGAUUGCUAAGCCCAUGACAGAACUCCUCAAGAAGGAUCAGAAGUUUGUAUGGUCUGAGGACUAUGAGAAGAGUUUCAAUGAGUUGAAGACCCGAUUGAUGUCAGCACCUAUUUUGACCCUCCCAGACAUCUAUCACAGCUUUGAUGUAUACUGCAACGCAUCCAGGAGAGGUAUUGGGUGUGUGCUCAUGCAAGAUGGCAAGGUUGUAGCCUACGCAUCUAGAUAGCUAUGACCCCACGAAGGGAACUACCCAACGCAUGAUUUGGAGUUGGCCGCAGUUGUGCACGCGUUAAAGAUUUGGAGGCACUACCUCAUUGGCAAAAGAUGUCAGAUAUUUACCAACCACAAGAGUCUUAAGUAUAUAUUCACCCAAUCGGACUUGAAUCUCCGACAGCGAAGAUGGCUCAAAUUGGUAAAGGAUUAUGAUCUUGGAAUAAACUAUCAUCCUGGCAAGGCCAAUGUGGUUGCCGAUUCCCUCAGUCGCAAGCCUUCCAACCUGAACGCCUUAAUGAAGUCCUUGCCUCCCAAGCUCCAAGAAGAGAUCGCUCAGCUUAACCUGGUUAUUGUUUGGGCUGACCUCACUAAAAUGUUGGAAAUCACCCCUACCCUCGAAGAAGAAAUCCGCAUGGCCCAGCUGGAUGACUCAGUCCUGCAACACCAUGUCAAGCGUAUGCAAGAAGGCAACACCUGAGAUUUUGCGAGGGAUGAGCAAGGUACUCUAAGGUUUCGAGUUCGGAUUUGCGUACGGGAACAAGCAGACCUGAGAAGGAAGAUCUUGACAGAAGCACAUGAAUCUUCAUACUCAGUUCACCCAGGAGGUACCAAUAUGUACGAAGACCUUCGGCAGACAUUUUGGUAGGAUGGAAUGAAGAAGGACAUCGCCUAUUUUAUCGCUUGUUGCGACAUAUGUAACAAGGUGAAGGCAGAACAUCAGAAACCUGUCGGACUUCUCCAACCUUUAUCUAUUCCACAAUAGAAGUGGGACGAUGUCUGCAUGGAUUUCAUCACUGGCCUGCCAAAGACUCAGCGAGGCAAUGAUGUAGUAUGGGUUGUGGUGGACAUGCUGACGAAGGUAGCUCACUUCAUUCCCAUCAGUACCACCUACCGAGCCGAUCAACUCACGCAGCUAUAUGUGUCAAGAAUUGUCAAUUUAAAUGGAGUGCUAAGAACCAUCACUUUCGACUGAGGUUCUCUCUUUACCUCAGCAAUCUGGUCACGUCUCCAUCAAGCUUUGGGGACCGCCUUAAAGUACGGCACCACCUAUCACCCAUAGACAGACAGGCAAACUGAGCGAGUAAAUCAAAUACUUGAAGAUAUGCUCCACGCAUGUGCUCUGGUCCAAGGACCCAAGUGGGAAGAUUGUCUGCCUUAUGCUGAGUUUUCCUACAACAACAGUUUCCAGACCAGCCUCAAGAUGUCACCCUGUGAAGCUCUGUAUGGCCGUAAGUGCCGCACCCCACUAAACUGGUCUCAAACUGAAGAUAGGUGCAUUUUUGGAACUGACUUAAUGAUGGAGUCUGAAAAGCAAGUCAAAGAGAUCCGAGAUAGACUGCAAGUGGCAAAUUCCGACAAAAGAGCUACUAUACUCCAAGCACCGACAGGUCGGUUUCAAACCCGGAGAAUAUGUUUACCUUCGAGUCACACCCAUGAAAGGAGUCAAGAAGUUCUAGAACCAAGGGAAGCUUUCACCCAGAUAUACUAGCCCAUUCCCAAUUAUGUCCAGAGUUGUUAUCGUGGCUUACCAGUUGGAACUACCACCGGAAUUGUCAGAAGUGCAUGAUGUGUUCCAUGUCUCACAGUUGAGAAGUUGUAUCUCACCACCCGAGAAAUGGCUGAUAUGGCAGAGAUAGAGCUUGCUAAGGAUUUGACCUAUGAGGAGAAACCGUUCCGAAUAUUGGAAGAAAUGGAAAAGUCACCCGCAGUAAGGCAAUUAAAUUCUAUAACGUGCAGUCCGAGCAUGAUACCGACUGUCGUGGAAUAGUCACGGUAGAUGUCCUAGCGAAAGGACUUAGUCAAGGAGCCAUCGCAACUAGGUUAGCUUAAAGGGGUUAAACAGGACAAAGGACAUAGGAGUUUAUACUAGUUCGGCCCCUUGUGGUGAAGGUAAAGGCCUAAUCCAGUUUGAGGUGGUAUUGCUUAUGUCUCGAUUACCAGGGAGCGAAUCCGCUUGACCUAGCUUUCGGUCUCUUGUUUUUUGCCCUGAACCGCCGCCGGGUCAUCCCUUUAUAUACACAAGUUGACGCUCAGCAGCUCACGGAGUCCCGGCCAGCUCAUAGACAACGUGUCCGGCUUGGUGACUAUCUAUACAUGCCUUACAAAACAAGUCUUGCACAUAUGGCGGUUUACUCCUACGGGCCUUAAGUUGCCCUUGGGCCUUGGGCCCUUGCCUAUGAACCGUCAUCUUCAAUAUCCUUGUGGGCUUCAUAUUAUGAGUCGCCAUAGGUAUAACCCGGCCCCUCCUGGGCGGGUCAUACCUAAUAGUUAUAUCCCCAACAUUAGGCCCCAGGUUGAUUUGAACUGGUUCAUGUCAAUCUUCAACACUUAGAAAAAUCUUCCCUUCUUUAUUUGUGCGAGAACUCAUAGCCCGCCAUGACGUCAUCUCCUGGACUUGUGGUAGCCCGCCAUGACGCCACCUGCCAUUAAUUUACACAAUAUCCAAUAUAUCUUAACGAAUUCUUAUUUUUAAUAGUUGUCCUGAGAAUCGAGGCGACCAAGCAGCUGGAUAACCAUUUUUUGGCAUCCUUGUUUUUUGCGCCCACUUAUUAGCCUUCUCCUUAUAAAUAGGGUCGAACCUCCCUUAUGUCAUUCUCCCCCUUCUCUUUCCCGUCUUCCUCCUCUCGCAACUCUUCUACCACUCGAGCUCCGCCGCCAUCGCGAAGCGCACCGUCCUCUUCGUCCUCGGCGGCUACAUCAAUCUGAAAGGGACCAAACAAAGCCGGCGCCCACCGUAGUCUCAUCUACAUCUGUAAGUGUUCCCCCUCCUAUGCUCUAGAUCCUCAUUAGGGUUCCUGUAGUUCUUCGUAGUUCUUUGUAGUUCUUCGCCCUCCAUCUUCAACCCUAGCAUCUUUUGAUCUGAAGAUAGCAUAUAACUCAUGCGGUAGCAGUUUUGCCCUUGCUUUUAAUGCCAGCGAACCCUUUUUCCAUCAUAAAAGAUCUCCUCGGAACCUAUGAACUCCCCUGCACUGUUUUUAGGUUUUAGAUUUUUUUUGCAUUUUCUGAACUGCGAUCCAAAAUUAUAAUUUCAGUCUGUGAAACAUGUUUGUCCAGUACUUAGCAAAAUUUCCUUCCUGAUAGAUCAACCUAGUCAUGGCGGCUUACACCACUAGUUGUAGCUAGAUUUAACACUUUGGCAAGCUUUACUCUUUGAUGGAUAUCAAUAUUUUCAUGGUGGCUUACAUAACCCAUUGUAGCUAGCUAUAUACAAUUAGGCCCCUUUUUAAGCCGCCAUUCUGAAUAGGUGUUAUAAUGCUCUUCCUCUGGCUUAAUUUAAACCGGCAAACUUGUUCUUUUUCUUUUUAGGCUUCUUUCUUCACAAUGGCCCCGAAGACAGCCACCUUCUGUAACUGGGUUCCCUUCAUUGUCACUGAGAACACACUCUGAGACUUUGUGAAAACCGGCUAUUUGCCAAAGAAAACUAUCAUGCAUUAUCGCGCCCCCAAGCCGGAAGAGGAGAAACCUCAGCCAAAGGAUGAUGAAGUCAUUGUCUUUACUGAUCACAUGAACCGGGGCUUCUCACUGCCCGGCUCUAAAUUCUUCCGGGACAUUCUGCAAUUUUUUAAUCUUCAUCCUCAAGACAUCGGACCCAAUUCCAUGUCAAACAUAUGCAAUUUCCAAGUUUUCUGUGAGGUGUACCUUCAAGAGGAGCCCAGUGUGGAGCUAUUCAGAGAAUACUUUUAUUUGCACUGCCAAAACGAGUACUCAAAUGGACCCAGCCUGGAACUUGGUGGAAUCUCAAUUCAGCGAAGGAGAGAUGCUAUCUUCCCUUAUGCUCGCAUGCUAAGUCAUCCCAAGGAUUGGAAUCAGACAUGGUUCUAUUGCAAGGAUACUUCUCCGGCUGACGAGAACCGACUACCCGGCUUUCGCACCCUAUGUCUUGACUCAAAACAUCCUCUCCCUGACAAGGUGACAGUCGUUGAACGCAAAAAACUCACCCCUAGCUACCAUUGCCAAGGUGAAGGCUCUGUUGGGAAAUGGCUUAACUGGCAUUGACUUGUUCGAUGCUGGGUUGCAUGGCGGGUCAUUCCAUUGAGUUGCCGCACCGGCUUAAUGUGCACCUACACUGGUGGCAAAAAGGAUCCAUUGUGCCACAGCUCUGAGGAUUUAACUAGCGACGCCAUCAACAGAAUGACAAAGUCCCUUCUGCAUGAAAGCCUGGUAGACUGCAGCAAGGUGGGCCUAAGCCCUUUCUACACAUCUAACCCGGCACCAAAAGUGAGUCUUUAAAUUACUUAUCUUACCUUCAUCCUUAAAUAUUUUGUUUAACUCAACUUGGAUGACUUUCACAGGGUGAUGAUGACUUUUGGAAGAAGGAAUAUGACCAUGAAGCUGCCAAAAGGGCCAGGAAAGCCAAGAAAGCGUCAUCCCCGAUUUAAACUCUUUUUAUCCUCUGGCAGGUCUCAUCCGCCAACCACUUAAUUCUUUCGACUCAAAUUAUUAGGAAAUGUCUCGUUCCUCUUACGGCAAUUCAUCUCAGUCUCAUCUGACGGCUUUCAAGAAUGCUCCCGGGUAAUAACAAUUACUUAUUAUAUGCUCAUUAUGCUCCUUUAUACUUAUACUGACCUCUCAUGACUCAUGAAGUGGAAAAGCCAAGACUAGGGAAAAGGCAAAAGUGACUAAGCCGACCGAAGACCCGAAAGUCAAUGAGCUGGAGCAACAGAUUCCAGCGCCUGAGACUUCCGCUCCUCAAUCGUCAGAGCCGGUUCUUGACGUUCCACCAGUGACUUCUGACCCUCCUGUCGACCAAGCAAACGAUGAUCCUUUGACUACUGAAGCGUCAAGUCCAGUAGAAACGGCUGAGACACAUGAUGAUGAUGUGGUGAUUACCAACACUGGCUUUAGAGAGCCGGGAAGACCCACCGCCCUGGCCAAAAACUCCACCAAGGAAGAAUACGUUGAACAGUGCAAAGUGAGAUUUGAUGUUCCCAAUUACUCUCAACUGAGCAUUGGUGAAACAAAUUCUGGCUUUCUCAGUCAGGUGCACUCCAGUCGUGACCUUGAAGUUGAUAUGGUAAAGCAGAUGCACCAAAAAUUUGAGGUAUAAGCUCCUUUUUUGAGUGAUGCACUUCCUGUCAGGCCCCAAGUCUACUAUUUAUGAUGGAAUUGAAUAUGUGGUAGACUUGAUUAACCAUGAGCAUAAAUAAUAACCUUUGAUAGAAUCCUUCAAAAUCCAGCUUAAAGCAUCCGGUUAGAAUAGAUCUGUAAUGAUUAACACUGAAUCCGUAGCCCCCAAGGGCCAGUUUAAUCAGCAUGAAUGAGCCGGUCCUUUGCAUCAUUGUUUUAUACGCUUUACUUGUGUAGCCCCCAUGAGCCGGUUGUGUGUACUUUCAGCACAUCUGGGUCAUCAGAAAAUAAUCGUGAAAAAACAAGUAAUAUGCAUUAGCCCCCAAGUCCAAAGUAUUCUUGCUUGCAAAGUGCUUGGGACUUAUUCACAUGAACCGUUGUAUGAAUAAUUGUUUUGGCAAACAUUAGCCCCCAAGUGCCAAGUGUUGUUGCUUGCAAAAUGCUUGGGAAUUCCUUGUUGUGACUCAUAAUUUUGAACCGGCAUAUGCACAGGACACCACUGCUCAACUUGAAUGUCAAUUAGCUGACAUGAAAGCCCGGCUGGAGGUGCCAGAAUCUAAGACCCGGAAGGCCGACUCAAAAUUCCAGUUUAGCAUUGCAGAAAUGGAGAAACUGAAAACCGGUUUUGAAGUUGAAAGAAGCGCUUGGGCUGAAGAGAAAACUGCCUUGACACAGCGGGCUCAGAAGGCGGAGGCGGCUCUUCAGGAAGCGACCACUGAACUUACCGGCUUAAAACGCCAUGUGUCUCAGAUGGUUUCUGCUAUCUUUGGUAAGUCGCCUCACUGGUAUCCAUUUUGAAUUUUUCUCUGAUGAUAUAAACCGCCUCUAACCCAUCCAUGAUUAUUAUGUAGGCCCCAGGAGCACCAAUCUUAACCAAGAUAUGCUGGUGAAGCUGAAGGCGGUUUACACACUUGUUGAGCAACUCUAUACUGGGGCUCAACGCGCAUUGGCCACAAUUUCUCCGUCCAACCAAGCACCUACACUCUUAGUUGAGGUCUCGAGGAAGCUUUCUAUGUUGCCUGAAAGGUUUAAUGAGAUGAAGCGAUCAUCUGCAACAGCUGGCGCUAUAACAGCCUUGAGCCGGGCCAAAGCAUGGCUACCACAGCUACACCCGGCCGAUAUAUCAACCGGGUAUCCAAGUCUGAAAGAGGAUGGCACUCCUUUUGAUAAAAAAGACUUUGCCGCCUAUGUAAAGGAGAUACGUCCCCUUGCCAUUCUGAUUGCUAAUGAAUCAGAUCUUUCAAAAUAUCAACCGGCUUAUGAUAGGAAAAACCAAAAACUGCCUACGUCGGCUUAUAAAGUGACUGAUCUGAUUCCCCCAAUCCGUAAGCACACUUUUGCUCCUGAAGUUGACCUGUCUGAGCUUAUUGAUAAUGAAGCUGAAUUCCAAGCCUUGAGUGGCACUGACUGGUCAUCACCAACCUUCUAGGAAGUAGAGCCGGACGAAGAAGCGGAGAAGGAUGAUCCAGAAGCUUCAUGUCAUCAAAGCCAGGAAGAUUAAUCCGCUGGGCGGUUCACAUGUGUGAUCUUCUGAAAAACACUUAACCAUUUUGGCUCCUUGAGUCAUGUAAUAGGCUAGAAAAAACUUUGAUAUAUCGUGCCAUCGUGCACGUUUGAUGUUUUGCCCAACGCUGUUUGAGCCGCCACUUGAUAAUUAUCCUUUUAGACUUAUCAUGAUGUUGAUUGGUGCAGAUGAAAAUUUUGAAUUAUCCCGCACACAAGUAGAUCACAAGAGCCCUUGGCGGUUUACCGUAGGGCAGGUCAUGAUACCCAUAUAAAGCCACUAAUGUUUUAAAACAAUUUAUAGACAGGCCUGGUUUAGUCAUAAUUAGAUAUAAUCAUAACAAAAAUAUCAUACCUGUGAUAUUGACUUGUACUGCCGGCUUAUGAUACAUGUGUAGUAAGGGUGACGACUCAAAGCUUAGAAGCCAAUGCUUCCAAGUGUUUAAUAUCCUCAUGGACUGGCGACUUAUCGUCCAGAGCCACAUCGGGUUAACAGAAAGCACGGGUAUGCUUCAAAUAUGAGCUGUAAGAAUUGAGGCUACAUGGCCUGAAUCACUUUAAACCAUAAGGCAAGAUAGGAUCAAGAAAACCUGAAAAAAUGUUCAAAAAAUCAAGCCAAAUGAGAAAAAACGAGGCUAUGCUUCGAAUACGAGAAGGAAGCCGGACCAAAAGGGUUAAUAGCUAUGAUUCGAAUACCAUCAGGAAGCCCCCAAGUGGUUUGUGGCAUUGCACCGAUCACUAGGGUACCGAUGGCUAUGAUUCGAAUACGAUCAGGAAGCCCCCUAGUGACCAUGAUAUUUUGGCAUUGCGCCGAUCAAGAGGGUACCGAUAGCUAUGUUCUCUUUGGUGAAGACACCUAUGUUUGAACAGGAAGCCCCCAAGUGACCAUAAGGUUUGGCAUUGCACCGAUCAAGAGGGUACCGACAGCUAUGUUCUCUUUGGUGAAUACACCUAUGUUUGAACAGGAAGCCCCCAAAUGACCAUGAGGUUUGGCAUUGCACCGAUCAAGAGGGUAUCGACAGCUAUGUUCUCUUUGGUGAAUACACAUAUGUUUGAAUAGGAAGCCCCCAAAUGACCAUGAUAUUAUGAUGAAACAGACUCAUUAUUUGUGGAAACGAAACAACAAAGGCCCUGCUUUGUCAGGGAUGCCGGCUUUAUUAUAAACAUCAUAAUAUAUACAUUGUCGAAGUAUGUACAUCAUAAGAGCCGGUGGCUCAAGUGUUGUAAGGCCGAAGAUGAGAAAUAUUCCACGGUCGGCGGGUCUCCUCCUCUGACUGACGUGAGUCCUUGUGGUCUCGAACAUCGAUGAGAUAAUAUUUUUCAAAUUCUUGCUUGCCUCAAAGGGUCCUUCCCAAGGUGUGGAUAGCUUGUGCAUGUUAGUUUGAUCCUGGAUGAGCCGGAGCACCAAGUCACCUUCUUGAAAGGCUCUGGUCUUAACCCAGAGGUUGUGAUAGCGUCAUAGGUCUUAUUGGUAAAUCACCGAACGAGCCGCUGCAAGGUCACACUCCUCAUCUAACAGGUCAACUGCAUCCUGGCGUGCUCUUUCAUUAUCAGCCUCAACAUAAGAUGCCACACGGGGUGAGUCGUGACGGAUGUCACUAGGGAGAACCGCCUCUGCUCUGUAAACCAUGAAGAAAGGCGUGUAACCCGUAGACCUGUUGGGGGUAGUAUUGAUACUCCAUAACACUGAAGGUAACUCCUCCACCCAACAACCUGGUGUCCUCUACAAAGGAAACAUAAGCUGGGGCUUGAUGCCUCUCAAAAUUUCUUGAUUGGCUCUUUUAGCAUGACCAUUGGAUUGGGGGUGAGCUACUGACAACACGUCAAGUCGAAUAUGCUCAUGUUGACAAAAUUCUUUCAUAGCACCCUUGGACAGAUUAGUACCAUUAUCAGUUAUGAUGCUGUGGGGAAAGCCAAAGUGAAAAAUCACCUUUUUGAUGAAUUGAACCGCCGUUACCGCGUCACACUUAGUGACCGGCUCUACUUCGACCCACUUUGUGAAUUUGUCAACCGCCACCAAAAGGUGGGUCUUUUUAUCCUUGGACUUAAAAGGCCCAACCAUAUCAAGCGCCCAGACUGCGAACGGCCAAGUAAUUGGAAUCAUCCUCAAUUCUUGAUCCGACACGUGAGCUCGCCGUGAAAAAUUCUGACAACCAUCACAUUUACUGACCAAAUCCUCUACAUUAGCGUGAGCCGUCAUCCAAUAAAAUCCAUGAUGAAAAGCUUUAGCCACAAGAGACUUUGAACUGGCAUGAUGACCACAAUCUCCUUCAUGAAUCUCGUGAAGAAUCUCACGGCCCUCCUCGGGAGAGAUGCAAUGCUGAAACGCCCCAGUAACACUGUGGCGUUGUAACUCGCCAUUGGCAAUGGUCAUUGACUUAGAUCGCUGGGUUAUCUGUCUGGCCAAAGUUUCAUCCUCAAGUAAUACACCCCGGGUCAUAUAAUCCAAAUAUGGGACUAUCCAAUCUGGAAUAGCGUGAAGAGCCGCCACCAAUUGUGCUUCCGGGUCAGGAAUAGCCAAAUCUUCCUCUAUAGGCAACUUGACAGAAGGAUUAUGCAGAACAUCCAAGAAGGUGUUAGGUGGGACCGGCUUAUGCUGAGACCCCAACCGGCUUAAGGCAUUAGUUGCCUCGUUUUUUCUGUGAUUAAUGUGUUCCACUUGAUAACCCUUGAACUGUCCAGCAAUAGCGUCAACUUUGCGGCGAUAAGCCGCCAUGAGUGGAUCCUUAGAAUCCCAUGUGCAUGGAACUCCCUGAGCCACCAAGUUUGAGUCACCGAAACAUCUCACCUGGCUUAAGUUCAUCCCCUUAGCCAUCCGAAGACCAUGGAGCAAGGCUUCAUACUCAGCUGCAUUGUUAGUACAAGGAAACAUCAACCUUAGAACAUAACAAAACUUAUCACCUCGAGGGGAAGUUAAGACAACUCCAGCCCCCGAGCCCUCCAAUUGCAUGGACCCAUCAAAGUGUAUAGUCCAAUAUGUGUUAUCUGGCUUUUCUUCAGGCAUCUGCAGUUCUGUCCAGUCGUUGAUGAAAUCCACAAGUGCUUGAGACUUGAUGGUAGUGCGAGGCAUAUAUUUCAAACCAUGAGGCCCAAGCUCAAUGGCCCACUUGGCUACCCGCCCUAUGGCUUCUCUGUUUUGAAUAAUAUCCCCUAAGGGAGCAGAACUGACCACAGUGAUGGGAUGACCCAGAAAAUAUUGCUUAAGCUUCCGGCUGGCCAUGAACACCCCAUAAACGAGAUUCUGCCAGUGUGGAUAUAUCUUCUUGGACUCAAUAAGCACUUCAAAGAUAUAGUAAACCGUCCGUUGAACUGGAUAUUCCUUGCAUGCUUCUUUCCAUUAUACCACAAUAGCUACACUAACAUCCCGGGCGUCAGCAGCCACAUAUAAUAGCAACGGCUCCUUAUUAAUAGGAGCAUCAAGGACUGGCGACUCAGCUAGCCGUUUCUUCAUAGCUUCAAAUGCGUCAUUAGCAGCAUCACUCCAGACGAAGUUAUCUAUUUUCUUCAUCAUCUGGUACAAUGGUAUGGCCUUCUCACCCAACCGGCUUAUGAACCGGCUUAAGGCAGCAAUACGACCCGCCAAACGCUGAACAUCAUUAAUACACGCCGGCUUUGCCAGGGAGGUAAUGGAAUUGACCUUCUCUGGGUUAGCCUCAAUGCCUCUGAUAGAAACCAGAAAACCCAAAAGCUUGCCUGCUGGCACACCAAAAACGCAUUUGACCGGGUUAAGCACCAUCUUGUAGACCCAGAGAUUGUCGAAGGUCUCCUUCAAAUCAUCUAUCAAAGUUUCCUUCUCUCUGGAUUUCACCACAAUAUCAUCCACAUAAGCAUGAACAUUGCACCCAAUCUGACUGUAGAGACAGUUCUGCACACACCGCUGGUAAGUUGCCUGGGCACAAAGGGCAUAAACACAUAGCAGAAGGCUCCAAAGGGAGUGAUGAAAGUUGUCUUCUCCUAGUCCUUAACUGCCAUCUUGAUCUGAUGAUAACCAGAAUAAGCAUACAAAAAACUCAAACGCUCACAACCCAUCGUAGCAUCAAUGAUUUGAUCAAUACGAGGGAGAGCAAAAGGAUUAGUCGGACAGGCCUUGUUUAAGUCUGUGUAGUCCACACACAUACGCCAAGUGUCGUUCUUCUUAAGCACCAACACCGGAUUAGCCAACCACUCAGGAUGAAAGACUUCAACAAUGAACCCAGCGGCCAAGAGCCGGACCACUUCUUCACCGAUGGCCUUACGCCUCUCCUCAUUGAAGCGACGAAGGAAUUGCUUGACCGGCUUAGAUUUUGGAUCAAUAUUAAGAGUGUGCUCAGCGAGUUCCCUUGGUACACCCGGCAUGUCAGAAGGCUUCCAUGCGAAGAUGUCCCGGUUCUCACGGAUGAACUCGAUGAGCGUGCUUUCCUAUUUUGGAUCCAGGUUAGCACUGAUACUAAACUGCUUGGAUGAGUCGCCAGGAACAAAGUCAACCAGCUUAGUGUCAUCGGCCGACCUAAACUUCAGCACCGGAUCAUGCUCUAUAGUAGGCUUUUUCAGAGAUGUCAUAUCAGACGGGUCAACAUUAUCUUUAUAGAACUUCAACUCCUCUAUUGCACAGACAGACUCGGCUUAAGAAGCAUCACCCUCUUCACACUCCAAAGCUAUUUUCUGACUCCCAUGCACUGUAUUGGUCCCUUUGUAACCUGGCAUCUUGAGCUGCAAAUAAACAUAACAAGGUCGUGCCAUGAACUUAACAUAAGUUUGUCGUCCAAACAGAGCGUGGUACGGGCUUCUUAUCUUGGCCACUUCAAAGGUUAACUUCUCGGCCCUGGAAUCAUGCUCAUCUCCAAAGGCCACUUCAAGCUCAAUCUUUCCUACGGGGUAUGCCGACUUACCAGGCACCACUCUAUGGAAAACAGUAUUGGACGUCUUAAGAUUUUUUUCAGUUAAUCUCAUGCGACGGGAAGUAUCAUAGUAAAGGAUAUUAAUGUUGCUACCUCCAUCCAUGAGUACCUUAGUGAAUUUGUAUCCACCAACCUGAGGCGCCACCACCAAAGCCAAGUGACCCGGAUUAUCAACCCGGGGCGGGUGAUCCUCCCGGCUCCACAUAAUGGGUUGCUCAGGCCAUCGCAAAUAGUGGGGACCUGCCGGCUCAACGGCGUUUACAGCCCUCUUAUGGAGCUUCUGGUCCAGCUUGCAUAGACUUGUGGUGAAAACGUGGUACUGCCCGCUAUUCAACUGCUUCGGAUGACUUUGAUAUCCAGACUGCUGAUGAUGCUGACUCCCUUGACCGGAUUGUUGAUUGUAACCAUCCUAAUUACCUUGAUUAUAACCACCCUGAUUACCUUGAUGGUGUUGGUGGCCUUGGAAGCCGGAAUUAGAACCGCCACCUCCAUAGCCCGAGCCAUGAGAACCGCCGCCACCAGAACCUGAGCCGCCGCCCGGCCCAUGGUUGUUUUGAAACAAAUUCGAAUUUUUGAAAGCCCUCAUAAUUGAACAAUCUUUCCAAAGGUGAGUAGUUGGCUUCUCUUGUGUGCCAUGCUUUGGAAAGGGCUCAUUCAGCAACUGCUCAAGAUUGGGACAUGAUCCACCGGUCCGAGGAGGCGGCCUCCCCUUACAACGCUGAUUAUUUCUUUGCGCAUUGGUGUUAGCCACAAACUCUGAGUUACCAUCAGCCUUGCGCUUACCGUUGCCCCCCUGAUUCGUAUGGUUAUGCAACGGACCCUUGGCGUUGCCACUCUUCUUUCCCUUUCCCGGCUUGUCAUCAUCAGACUCGGGGUCCUUGGUACCAUCAGAAUUGGCAUAUUUAAUUAGAGCCACCAUCAGCUGCCCCAUAUCAUUGCAAUCACGCUUGAGCCGCCCCAGCUUCUGCUUAAGAGGCAAAAAAAUAGCAAUUUUUCUCCAACAUUAGGACUGUAGAGCCCGCAUUCAUGUUAUCGAAUGAGUGUAUGAUAGCUUUGACCCGGCGCACCCAAUGGGUCAUUGAUUCACCCUCCUCUUAGGCGCAAGCAGCUAAAUCCACAAUUGACAUGGUGUCGGUGGGAAACGACACCUAUGGGAUCACAAGAAUCCCUAGUACGGUUGCGAGGCGCUGGGUUGUGAGGAGAGCAGGAUCAGCAGUCCGUACGAGCACGUGGUCAUUUACCCAGGUUCGGACCGCGGGGAUGCGUAAUACCCUAGUCCUGCUUUGAUGUGUGUAUUUGUGUUCUUGAGGUUCUUGAACUAGCUACAAUGGGAGUAACUUGUCCAAGAGUCCCAAUCCUUCUCCUGGAUGCCUCGAGCCUAAUUUUAUAGGCAAGGGGAUCGCCACAGUGGCACGCAAGAGGUGGCAUCGGGGUAUUGUGAUUAAGCCUAUCCCUCGCCAUUACGGGGCAAAGUGCAUUUAAUGCGCCCCUAACGUGUCCCCUCCACUUUACUGCCGCUUCGCCCUGCCUUGACACGCGCCUGGGCCAGCGCGGCGGUGGUGCCUUGUAGGCUGGCAGGCUGCUGAGGUGGCGCGGUGGUAGGGCUUUCACGAAGAUUUUCAUGCCAACACGUAGGCAUGCGCUGAGUUGGCCGAGAAGCCUGGUGCUGACACGCAUGUGUCUACCCAGCUGGUGGGCUGGUAGCUGCAUGGGAGCGAUGGCAGAAGCUUGGCGGGUGCGGGCCUGGCUGUGGCCUCACGGAUGUCCCCGGCAAGGGCCUUGCCGGGGCCCUGGCAAGGCUCUUGCCGCGGAAUUGCGGUCGUCCCCAACAAGGGUCUUGCCGGUGGUUUUGUGGGUUUCCUUGGCGACGAUCUCGCCGAGGUUCGUCGUCUUCUAUUCUUCUGAUUUGAAGUAUUAUCCUUGUCUUCACAAAGAUCUGCAUGCCAUCAUGGUGGCGCCUCCCAAGCCUUGGUCCCAACACGGUUGGUGGUGCUGGAGGAACCAGGGCUCAAGGGUGGCGUGCCUUGCUGGCGUCAGGUAGGCUGCUCCGGCAAGGGCCUUGCCGGGGCCGUGUGGGAUGCCCCGACAAGGACCUUGCCGGGGGAAACCAUUUCGCCUUCUUGCUCUUUAUGCUUCUAUCUUGGCGUUGCUUUGAUCAUGUGUUUCUGCCCUGCUUAAGCGUGGUCGUGGGCGCGGCUCUGACUGCCCGUGCACAAAUAAGGGGUACAAAGGAGCGCCCGUACUUUAGUACAGUGACAGGAGCCCCCGGGCCUGGGCCACACAUAAGCACGACACGUUGUUGGGCCAGGCCCAGAACGGUGUGCGGGCAGGCGGGCGGUUUUUUACCGCGGUAACUUUCCGUCCGCUGCGCUUCCCCAUGAUGACCGUUGAAUGCGCGACAUGGGGGGCGUGUGUGACGUGGGGGGCAUGCGUGGGGCGGUCGCAGCAGGCAUGUGUCAUGUCGCAAUAAAUGGGAAGAGGGGCGGCCCGCGUCUUCCCCAUAAAAAGGAAUAACCGCGGGCGCGCGGCUCAUUUACCCCAUGUGCUUUCCCCAAUCUCGCUAUCACCGUCCCCAUCUUCUUCCUUCCCAAGCUCUUGCUCGCCGUUGUUGUGCUUCCCACUGCCCCCAGCUUCUCGCUCUCUUCCGAGCCGCCAUGGCGCCCAAAUCUGGCAAGGGCAAAGGUGUGGCCGAGGAUACGAGGGAGAAGGAGACGCCGGAGAGCGAGGCGGCGGCGCGGCGGGCGCAGGCCGCCUACUUCGUCCCAUCGUUCAUUGACGCCCUCGAUCUCAGGGACUACUACAAGCCAUUGUGGGGGGUGACAUCGGCACACCCCGCCACGCGUGCCCUCCCCGCGGAUUGCAAGAAGGGCGGCCAGAAAUGGUACCCAUUCUUCGUCGACUUCUUCUUCUGUGGGCUUUGCCCCCCUUUUUCCGACUUCUUCAACAAUAUCAUGCGCACUUUUGGCUUCCACCUACUGGAUCUUACGCCGAAUGCCGUGGCGCACCAGGCAUAUUUCGACCAUCUCUGCAAGGGCUUCGUCGGGGUGGUGCCCAGCAUGGCGCUUUUCCACCACUACUUCUCCCCCCUCAUCCAACCUGGGGGUGCUCUUUCUGGGACCAUCACCUGGAUCCCGACGAUUCAAGAGAGAGGCGCAUACCCAGAUGGCACCACAAAGGAGAGGUGGGAAGAGUGCCGGGGCCGGUGGUGCUGGAUCGUGGGGGAGGACCCGCCGGAGUUCUCCUGGGGCGUUCAUCAGGAGCCGCUGCCCCGCGGCGCGAACUGGAGCGACCUCCACCCCAAAGAUAAGAAGUUCCCGAUCACCACCACCAGGAUCCGCCGCCUUACUGAGGUCGGGCUUACCCUCAAGAUGAUCACGGCGGAUUUCAUCUGCCGCUGAAUCACUCUGCUACACAAGAAGGGAAGGCUGGCCUGGGAUUUCAGGAACACGUCUGACAUCAUGAGGCUCCGCACCGGCCUGCACAACAACUUCACGGUGCUGGGGCACUCUUGGUAUCGUCAGAGGCUCUUCCAGCUCGAGGAGUACGCUGACGGCAAGGUGAGGAGGACCGGCAAGGCUGCAAAGUCUGGCAAGGUUGUCAAGGGGCCCUUGUUCGGGCUGCCGCCAGGAGUGGUCCCAUUGAGCAACAACUCCCGGUAGGCCAAAAUCUUGGCCAUGAUGCCACCCUUUAAUGCGCACGGUCUUGACCCGGCCUGGGUCGAGCCCCCGGCACGCCAGGUGGAGGAGUUCUUCUCUAAUUUGGUCGAAGAACUCGACCACGACGAACCGCGGCUCAUCCAGGACACCACCCAGGAGGAGCUGAACUAUAUUGCCGCUAGGGCGAUGGAGGCGAAGCUCGCCAGGCUUGUCGGUGAGGCCGGUGGCGUGGAGAACGAGGCCACCGUGGCCGCAGAGGAGGAGGAGCUCGCCGCGUGGGUGAAGUACGUCAAGGAGGCGGCCGGUGCCAACACCGAGGCCCCCCUGCUGAAGGCAUGGGCGAAGGGUCAUCCGAGGAGGACGCCGAGGCCGGCGAGCCCCCGACUACACAGAAGAGGCGCGUCCUGCGUCGGGCCAGCUCCGGCAAGCCGGUCUAGCCUGGUAAGGCUGUGGCGCGGCAAGGGGCUCCGGGGGAGGCCGCGCGCAUGACGAGGGCCGCGGUGGCGAAGGAGGCCGCAGUAGCGAAGAAGAAGACCACGAUGGCGAAGAAGAAGACGACCGCCUCUUCUUCAUCCAAACGCUUCCAGACUCCUUCGCCUCCCCCUCGCCCCGCAGGCGUCGGCAUGGACAUCGGCAUCGACUUCUCGUCCCUCAGCCCGAGGGGGAAGAGGAAGGCAGCAGAGGAGGAGGAGGAGGACGAGUAAGCGCUCUGCCCCUUGUCAUUUCCACCCUUACGAAUCAUGCCGCCCUCCUUGAUUUGACUUGUUCUCGUAGGAAGAUGGAGACACUGGCUCAGCGGGCGGUGAAGAGGGCCAAAGCCUCGACGGGCAGCCCGCCUCCGAUGGGUACUUCAAAGGCGCCGCUGGUGGUGGAGAGCAGCCCGGACAGUAGCCCGCGGCGUAGCCCCCGGCUCAGCCCCCAGCAUAAGUCCACCAUCCACCCUUUGCCAACGCUUGUUGGGGCCCGAUUCUCUUGUUGUUGACCUUGCCGCGGUUUGCAAGAGAAGAACCGCAGCAGCAGGAGCCACCAAGGGACUCCCUCACCACGCCGCCCCCAUCGACCACACUGCCCAGAGGGGCGUCCCCGGCAAGGGUGCCAGAUACCGAGCCCAUGCGCACAGAGGAGGAGGUAGACUUGGGUGAUGGUGGCUCCACCCUAGCAACAGACGUUGGCGGGGAGGGGGCCACAUCUUCCCAGCCUGGCACGGGUGAGUCAUUCGUUCUCCAUUGCUCUUAUUUCUUUUCUCUUGAACCUUGGCUUUGGUCCUGUCUUAUUUCCUCCUUCGGCAUCUAGGUCCCCCCCCCCCACUCGACGGACCAGGGGGACACCGACACCAUCAUCGAGGAGGCUACUGCGGAUGACAUGGCUGAGGCUGAGAAGGUCGCCACCAAGGCGGCCGCCGAGACCGCGGCCGAGGAUGCCGCCAAGGGGCUUGCCGGGGAGACCGGCAAGGGCGCCCCGAGGAGGCUGGCAAGGGUGCUGCCGAGGAGGAGGACGUCAAGGCCUCUACCGAGGAGGAGGCCGGAAAGGCCUCUGCCGAGGAGGAGGUGGUUGGCGAUCAACCCUCCUCGUCCGCCGCCUCUGGCUCAGGCAAGUACCUAAAGGUGAGCGACAACGUGUUCGCUCACCUCCCAGGAUUGGCAAGCACCAGGGCGCCGGCCGAGGGGGAGGUGUUUGACGAUGAAGUGCUCACCGGCGCCGGGCUUGAGGUCGUCGACGAGCCGAACGCUGGUGGCGGCACCCAAGAGGAGCGGCUCCUCCAGGCCAUGAGUGCCAGCUUCAACAAGCUUCAAGCGCUCCACUGCGCCCGUCUGGACAAGGCGAAGUCCAAGGAGGCAGUGGCGCACAAGGUGGAAGCAGACCUUGCGGAGCGCGUCGCCGAGGCGCAGGCCUAGUUCCGCCAGGCCCACGAGGAGCUAAAGGCCGCCCAAGACCAGUUGGCGCAGCGUGACUUGGAACUCCUCCUGAAGCAGGCCGACUUUGAGAAGGCCCGAGAGGAACCAAGGGAGGAGGCCUCCAAGGCCAAGGCCAUCUGGUAUUAGCGCGAGGCCGAGCUGAACUCCCAGGAGGAGGAUCUUGUCCCCCGUGAGACGGCGCUUGCCGCUACGCUCCGCGGCAAGGACGAGGAGGUCAAGAAGCUUGCCGCGGCACGGACCCAAGAGCUGGAGCAUAAGCACAAGGAAGCGCUCGAUGCCCAGGCCCUGGCCCACGGCAACAAGGUGAAGGAGCUAGAGGCGGAGCGGGGCGGCCUGGCAAAGCAAAUCCUGGAGCUGUCCUCAAAGAAGAAAAUGCUCAACGAGGCUCUGGUCGAAGCGCAUUCCGCGAUCCUCUGCAAGGAUGGGCUACUCUCCACAUCCAACGACACCAUCAAUGACCUGAAGCUCAAGCUGGUGAGCCUUGAGGGGGCACUUUCGGAGGCCCAGACCCAGGAAGGAGCCCUGACCAAGAUCCUGGCGGAGGAGAAGCAACUACGGAAGAACAACGCCGCAACCAUGCAGAUUCCAUGAAGGGCGACAAAAUCUGGACCGACCGCCUCGCCAACGUCGCCAACAAGAUCACCAAGCAGCUGGCCGGGCGAUGGCGCCCUGGAAAAUCAUCCAUGACUUCAACAACGUGUUGGGCAGCUUGUCGGGCGAUGCGGACCUCUCAGGGUCAAGGAGCGCAUCGAGCCCAUCAUCAGCCGCGUUGGUGGAAUCCAGAGGUUGGAGGGCCAGCGCCGGGACUAGGGGCCUCGUUUCUUGUUGCCGCUAUAGGUUCAUGACCAAGACAAUUCACAUCUUUAGUUAGAACCGCAGCAACAGUUGGUGUAAUGUAACUCUACAGUACUUUUAAUAUGAUGCAUGUUAUUUCCCUGUUUAACCUUUCUUUGUACGUCCACCCUACGCUUACUGGGUAGGCUUGCCGGCGCGUAAACCCAAACUGAUGCACUUCAAAAGAUGGAGCCUUUAGCGGCCGGCAGGGUGUGCUUGCCACCGUGCAAACCAACUUGUCGUUCUCAGCGUAGCCACUCGAACUGCCGAGCAGACUCGAGGCAGAGCGAGAACAUUGCCGAUAGUGGAAGGCCACCCUGCCGCUCUCGGCGCAGCCGCUCGAUCUGUUGAGCGGACUCGAAAUAGACCAAGAGCGUUGCCGAUAACGGAAGGGCCCCACUGCGUGAAGGUUUCCCAUACAUAGGAAAGAUCUCCGAGGAAGAUAACCUUAUGUAAGAAGGAAUUUUUCGAAGUUUUUGCAUGACUUAGCUUUUUUUGUCGUCGCACGAACGCUCGCCGCAUCCACCAAUGGGGUUGCUCGCCUGGUCGCCUUCUUCCUUGGAUGCCAUGGUGAUGAAGAGUUGUGCUACUAGCCGCUAAACCAGAUGCUCACUACCUCGCGCAGCCCCUACCUGGAGCGCCAAAGAUGUCGGUGGGAAACGACACCUAUGGGAUCACAAGAAUCCCUACUACGGUUGCAGGGCGCUGGGUUGUGAGGAGAGAAGGAUCACCAGUCAGUACGAGCACGCGGGUCGUUUACCCAGGUUCGGGCCGCGGGGAUGCAUAAUACCCUAGUCCUGCUUUGAUGUGUGUAUUUGUGUUCUUGAGGUUCUUGAACUAGCUACAAUGGGCGUAACUAGUCCAAAAGUCUCAAUCCUUCUUUUGGAGGGAUCGCCAUAGUGGCACACAGGAGGUGGCAUCGGGGUACUGUGAUUAAGCCUAUCCCUCGCCAUUACGGGACAAAGUGCAUUUAAUGCACCCCUGACAUGUCCCCUCCACUCUACCGCCGCUUCACCCUACCUCGACACGUGCCUGGGCCAGCGAGGCGGUGGUGCCAUGUAGGCUGGCAGGCUGCUGAGGUGGCGCGGUGCUAGGGCUUUCACGAAGACUUGCAUGCCACCACGUAGGCAUGCACUAAGUUGGCCGAGAAGCCUGGUGCUGACACGCAGGUGCCUACCCAGCUGGUGGGCUACCAGCUGCAUGGGAGCAGUGGCAGAAGCUUGGCGGGUGCGGGCCUAGCUGUGGCCUCACGGACAUCCCCGACAAGGGCCUUGCCGGGGCCCCGGCAAGGGUCUUGCCGCGGUGUUGCGGUCGUCCCCAGCAAGGGUCUUGCCGGGGGUUUUGUGGGUUUCCUUGGCGAGGAUCUCGCCGAGGUUCGUUGUCUUCUAUUCUUCUGAUUUGAAGUAUUACCCUUGUCUUCACAAAGAUCUGCAUGCCAUCAUGGUGGCGCCUCCCGAGCCUUGGUCCCAACGCGGUUGGUGGUGCUGGAGGAACUAGGGCUCAAGGGUAGCGUGCCCUGCUGGCGUCAGGUAGGCUGCUCCAGGAAGGGCCUUGCCGGGGUCGUGGGGGCUGCCCCGACAAGGACCUUGCCGGGGGAAACCAUUUCGCCUUCUUGCUCUUUAUGCUUCUGUCUUGGCGUUGCUUUGAUUGUGUGCUUCCGCCCUGCUUAAGCAUGGUCAUGGGCGCGGCUCUGACUGCCCGUGCACAAAUAAGGGGUACAAAGGAGCGCCCCUACUUUAGUACACUGAGACAUGGGUUGUUUGCAUGUGUCUUUAAAGUUCUGGAUAAACCGGGCCUUUAGCUCAGCCCAUGACCCGAUGGAAUUAGCUGGCAGCCCUUUUAACCAAGUACGGGUCGUCCCAUCCAGCAUCAUGGUGAAGUAUUUAGCACACGCAGCAUCACUGACCUCCAACAGUUCCAUGGCCAUCUCAUAACUCUCAAUCCACGCCUCAAGGGGUAAGUCAGCUGUGUAGUUAGGCACCUUACGAGGUCCUUUGAAAUCCUUGGGCAAAUGCUCAUUACGCAGAGCCGGCACCAAACUGGGUACACCUGUAGUUCUAGAGAUCACGCCUGCCUCUAUCGAAGUCGUUGGAUAAACCGGAAGGGGCUCGUGAGCCGCCCGCUGAGCCGCCUGCUCAGCCUCUUGACGCACUCUUUCCUAAUCGACCAAGUCAUGAGCUCCAUCAUGCGCCGGGUCAUGCCCACGUGGUUGGUUACGGCGUUGGGCAUUGCUUGAAACGGCUGGUGAGUCCUUGUGCUAUAACUCCAGCUUGGGCGAGGGGUCGAGUGAAUCCUAUCUCGACUAUAAGAAUAUGCCUCCUGCUGCACCAAUGUUGUUUGAAGAAGUUCCCUAGCCCUUCCUGUUUCAACCGCUGCUGGAGAGUCGCCAUCCACUGGGAGAACCGCCAAUCGUGUCGCCGCAGCGAUCAUGUUAUCCAAAGGGUUGGAAUAAUGACUCGAUGGUGUUGGUACAUUCUGAGGUGGAGCGCUAUUCAGACGAGGAGGUUCCGUCAUGCAUGGUUGAACCGGCGUUCCUACCCCAGGUGCUGCAACCCGGUUUAUCUUUGGCGGGUUACUGGUCCCCGCUCCAGGCGUGCAAAAGAGGUUUCUCGCCUCGUAAACCGGAGGUAGACAAGACUUGUGCCUCCUCCUCAUGAUUUCCUUUGAAGCGUUUUGAUCCAUCGUAAGCCGGAUAGCCUCUGACUGAAUCCGCUGGGCCUCAGCAUACAGGGCAGCCCGUUCCGUGGCCAUCCUGACGUCCUCUGCCGCCAUGUUUUCCUUGGCUUGUGCUACCUCAUCACGCAUUUUUGCAAUUUCUGUGCUAUGCUGAGCUUGAUUUGCCGGGUUAACUGCUGCUGUUAACAAGGCUAUGAGCUUAUCCAUCAACUUCGUCAACACCUAAGCCGGUGGGCGCACAGGGCCUCCUACCCCGGCUGUCGCAACCAUUGCUGACCCAGAAGUCAUUGUUGUCGCGGUUGAAGAAUUCUGCCCAGGUUGCGUACCAGCCAUGAAGAUUGCAACCCUGUUCAGCGGCUCAUAGGGGUCUGGAAUACUGUCUCCACCGGAACAGCCCCCAAGCCCGCUGUCUUGCAAUUGAUACAAUGAAGUAGUCUCGCGUGUGGAUGACUCACCGUCAGAAUAGUUGGUCGUCUCACCUCCAGACAUUGACCCUUCAUCAAAUUCCGCUCCAUGGAUGAAUCCCACGAAGUCAUGCUUCACGACGGGCUGAGCUCAGGCAGGUCUCGCACGCUGAGCCGUCUGGAUGAUAUCGGUGAAGAUGUCCGGCUCAAGGCCCGGCUCGCCGAUCUUGCUGAUGAACACGUGAAUUCCACUGAAGGGGACCCAGUACCCAUACUCAAUUGAGCCGGCCUCGGUGUCCCAGCCUACAUCGUCGAUGUAGAGCUUGCCACGAUGACUCUUCGUCAUCUGGCCCAUAGUGUGUAUCCCUUGAGCCCUUCAAAGCUUCCCUUUAAGAACUUGAAACCACCGUGCGCUGUACCCAUGGUGGGCGCCAACUGUCGUGGAAUAGUCACGGCAGAUGUCCUAGCGAAAGGACUUAGUCGUGGAGCCAUCGCAACUAGGUUAGCUUAAAGGGGUUAAACAGGACAAAGGACACAUGAGUUUAUAUUGGUUCGGCCCCUUGCGGUGAAGGUAAAGGCCUAAUCCAGUUUGAGGUGGUAUUGCUUAUGUCUCAAUUACCAGGGAGCGAAUCCGCUUGAUCUAGCUUUCAGUCUCUUGUUUUUUGCCCUGAACUGCCGCCGGGCCGUCCCUUUAUAUACACAGGUUGACGUGCAGCGGCUCACGGAAUUCUGGCCGGCUCAUAGACAAUGUGUCCGGCUCGGUGACUAUCUAUACAUGCCUUACAAUACAAGUCUUACACAUAUGGCGGUUUACUCCUACGGGCCUUAAGUCGCCCUUGGGCCCUUGCCUGUGAACCUCAUCUUCAAUAUCCUCGUGGGCUUCAUAUUAUAAGUCGCCAUGGGUAUAACCCGGCCCCUCCUGUGUGGGUCAUACCUAAUAGAUAUAUCCCCAACACCGAGGAAGAAGCAAACAGGGAAAGAGAAGACUUUUUGAGAGUGUCCUAUCCAAAGUUGUUUUCCCAAGCAACCGAAUCUCGAGGACGAGAUUCAUCCUAAGUGGGGGAGGUUUGUGACACCCUGGUUUUUGCCAUCAUGAUUUUCAUUUGCCAUUUGCUUUAAAAUGAGUUUUGAGUUGAUUCAUUGGGACUUAGCACUUGGGCAUUGUUUUGAUUUUCACCCAAGUGACUCCCCUCACCUCUCACGACCUCUCUUGACCUCUCAUUCAUCAUCAUGUUACUUUGGAAUAUUUUUCUUUUAAAGAAAAUAUUCAUUUUCACCCUAAAAAUGGAAUAUUUUCGCUUUCCCUCCAAGCAACCCCUAUGUUUCUUGCCUCUAAAAAUCUGAGAAAUUCCCACAAACCCUUUGGACCUUUCCCCAUCAUCUCAUGCAAAAAUAUCAUGUGGUCAUGUGGCCCAAUUUUGCUAGACAAAAUCAUUUCCAUUCUGACCAGAAAAUGCACUUUGUACAUAUGAAGUGUAUUAUUCUUUGAUCUUUUGGAGCUGAAUUUUCUUGAGCAUCAUUACCUUAGUGACUUAACCCUAAACCCCAAAGCUCAGCUCCUAGCCCUUCCUGGUUUGAUCACAAAUUUGGCCACAAGUUUCUGUCCAGGAACUUGCAGUGAGUGUUGUGAUCUAUCUACUCAUCCUGGCAGUGUGUUCUCAACUUUCCUAGACUAAACACUACAUGGUCGAUAGCCCCAACAUGGUUUGGCCUCACCUGGGCACUACGUUGGCAUAGUGCACGCGGUGACCCCGUGUGGACACUGCCCCUGGUGCGAGUCCGGCGCGCUCUGCGCUGUGCCCGCCCUCUGUUUCGCCCGUGCAUGUCUCACUGCCGCGCCCAGACUGUCGCACCACUUCACCAGCUUUGCGUCAUCACCUCAGACCCCUCGUUGCCACUCGCCGCCGUCGGAGCCGCCACAGCGAUCAUGAGCACCUCGCUCCAAAGAACAUAGUGCGCCCGUGCUCAAGUCAGGCCCCCUCCCUUGCGCCCUGUGCUCGUCCUUGAGCUUGCACAGUGGCCGCGUGAGCCCUGGCGCCUUCUCCCCCUCUCAUGGAUGCCCCUUGUCGCCUCCCGAAGCCUCCAGGGAGCUUGUCGAAGCUCGCGACCCCAUCUUGGCUCCCCUAUAUAUAGAGCCCCACUUCGCCCUUCCAAGCACCUCACCGCACUCCUCUACAUCCACAAAUCCUCCUAGAUAGCCGUGGCCCGGCAGGGCAGGCCUCUGGCCGCCGUUGCCCUCCCGAGCCCAUCGGCAAUCCCCUCCCUUGGCCAUCCACCUCUCCAAUGCCCCUCGAGCUCAGUCCACUCUUCGAGCGCCUCCCUAGCAGUCCACUGGUGCAAGAGAAGCCCCCUGGAGCCCUUGGAGUCACCCGUCCUCACUGUAUUCUUCAUCUCCGACGAGCCUCGCCCGCAGCCAUCGCUGGAGAAGCUCGUUCCGGUCGACUCCGUCCACCUCCUGCCUUGCCACGGGUACGAGCAGGUGCGCCAGAACCACCUCUCUCGAUUCCUUCCUUCCCCGAAGGCUGUCGAGCCCUCCUCACUGGAGAGAUCCCCGGCGACGAGCCGCCGUCCUCUGUUUCCCUCCCCCUCUCUUAAAACCUGACGGGCGAGGCCUGCUGUCAGCCUCUCCACUCGCGCCCGAAGCAGUACGAGUGGAGGCAUAUUCGCUAGAAUAUGCUUCAACGUCAUUCCCCCCUGAGACUAAUUUAAAUCUGAUUUAGAUCAUAUUUGACCAGCAACUUUGACGAGCUCUAGCUCCUAUUCUAUAAGUCCAAAUGCAUUGAUUCUUUUUGUAGUAGUUUUGUAUUGAGAUUCUUUAUCAGCACACCAAAUAUUUGCAUAGUGCCAUUUCAAUAGCUAUGAUUUUUCUAACUUCAAUAUGGUUUAUUUCAUGCAUUAAACCAUUUAAAUAAUAUUGCUUAUGGUAAUUCAGUUAUCAUGCUUGAGUACAUAGCUUGCUGUAGUACUUGAGUGCAUGGACUAGUUUGAUGCGGUAGUGUUAUUUUGAUAGCAUGUCUAUGGUUUGGUAGCGAUCGGUAUUAUUCUCAUAUUAUGGUUUAUUAUUUUCACCAUGCUACCAGUGUCUCUAAAUGAUUACUAGUGCAUGCAUAAGGAUUCUAUGAUGUUGAUCCGUUUCAUUCCAGUGAUAUAUGGAUAUGGUUGCAUGUGAAGGAAAUAUGCCCUAGAGGCAAUAAUAAAGUUAUUAUUUAUUUCCUUAUUUCAUGAUAAAUGUUUAGUAUUCAUGCUAGAAUUGUAUUAACCGGAAACAUAAUACAUGUGUGAAUAUGUAGACAAACAUAGUGUCACUAGUAUGCCUCUACUUGACUAGCUCGUUAAUCAAAGAUGGUUAAGUUUCCUAAUCAUAGACAUGAGUUGUCAUUUGAUUAACGGGAUCACAUCAUUAGGAGAAUGAUGUGAUUGACUUGACCCAUUCUGUUAGCUUAGCACUUGAUCAUUUAGUAUGUUGCUAUUGCUUUCUUCAUAACUUAUACAUGUUCCUAUGACUAUGAGAUUAUGCAACUCCCGUUUACCGGAGGAACACUUUGUGUGCUACCAAAUGUCACAACAUAACUGGGUGAUUAUAAAGGUGCUCUACAUGUGUCUCCGAAGGUACUUGUUGGGUUGGCGUAUUUCGAGAUUAGGAUUUGUCACUCCGAUUGUCGGAGAGGUAUCUCUGGGCCCACUCGGUAAUGCACAUCACUAUAAGCCUUGCAAGCAUUGUAACUAAUGAGUUAGUUGCGGGAUGAUGUGUUAUGGAACGAGUAAAGAGACUUGAUGGUAAUGAGAUUGAACUAGGUAUUGAGAACCGACGAUCAAAUCUCGGGCAACUAACAUACCGAUGACAAAGGGAACAACGGAUAUUGUUAUGUGGUUUGACCGAUAAAGAUCUUCGUAGAAUAUGUAGGAGCCAAUAUGAGCAUCUAGGUUCCGCUAUUGGUUAUUGACCGGAGAUAUGUCUCGGUCAUGUCUACAUAGUUCUCGAACCCGUAGGGUCCGCACGCUUAAAGUUCGGUGACGAUUUAUAUUAUGAGUUAUGUGUUUUGAUGUACCGAAGGUAGUUCGGAGUCCUGGAUGAGAUCGGGGACAUGACGAGGAGUCUCGAAAUGGUCGAGACGUAAAGAUCGAUAUAUUGGACAACUAUAUUCGGACAUCUGAAAGGUUCCGAGUGAUUCGGGUAUUUUUCGGAGUACCGGAGAGUUACGGGAAUUCGCCGGGAGGGUCAAUGGGCCUUCAUGGGCCUUAGUGGAAAUAGAGGGCAGCAAGGAAGUGUGGGGUGCACCCCCCCCUAGGCCCAAACCGAAUUGGUUUAGGGCUUUGGGGGCCGGACCCCUCUUUCCUUCUUCCCUCCUCCUCUUUCCUUCCCCUCCUAGUUGGACUAGGAAAGGGGGAACCUACUCCUAGUAGGAGUAGGAUUCCCCCCUUGGGGCGCACCCUAUGAGGCCGCCGGCCCCCUCCCCUUGCUCCUUUAUAUAUGGGGGCAGGGGUGCACCUGUAGACACAACAAUUGAUCUCGUGGAUCUCUUAGCCGUGUGCGGUGCCCCCUCCACCAUAAUCCACCUCGAUAAUAUCGUAGCGGUGCUUAGGUGAAGCCCUGUGUCGGUAGAACAUCAUUAUCGUCACCACGCUGUUGUGAUGACGGAACUCUCCCUCAAAGCUCGGCUGGAUCGGAGUUCGAGGGACGUCAUCGAGCUGAACGUGUGCUGAACUCGGAGGUGUCGUGCGUUCGGUACUUGAUUGGUCGGAUCGUGAAGACGUACGACUACAUCAACCGUGUUGUUCUAACGCUUCCGCUUUCGGUCUACGAGGGUACGUGGAAAACACUCUCCCCUCUCGUUGCUAUGCAUCACCAUGAUCUUGCGUGUGCGUAGGAAAUUUUUUGAAAUUACUAUGUUCCCCAACAGCAUGUCAUAUAGUUGCAUGUUAAUGGCAUACUAUGACCCGAGUUCUUUCAUUUUAAGUUAAACCUGAUGAUAAUUCAACUUGAACAUAAUGUUGAUUGAGUCAUGGUGCCACCGAAUUGAGCUUCCCAGUGCAAGCACAUUUGCCUUUAUGGGAAGGCCCUUAUUCGGUCUGUUAUCAUGCCUCUGGUCAGUGCCUUGAACGAGGGAAGGUUAUGGGUGUGCGUUACCCUGGCCCGGUAAGCAGACAUAACCUUGUGUGCCUGUUUUUGUUUAUGGUGCCAUGUCCCCAUUUGGGACCGUUUAUGUUUUGCCACGACGGUGGACGUUGGAUGUCCAGGAGUGCCAUCGGGGCCACCCAUGACUCAGCCCAAAAGGGGAGUUGGUCGGAGUGGCCGGGAGAGUGUCUUGGCAAUGGGUUGGUUCUGUCGGAACACCGUUGGCCCACCCGAAUGGGAGUACGAGGCCAUGGGUUCCAUGGUGUGGGUAUAGCAUGUUAACCUCUGCAGAGUGUGUGUUAAAUCUAUCGAUAGUCGUGUCCUCGGUCACGGACACAGUUCAUAGUAGGUCACACCAUGGAUCAACAUAAAUAAGUUAAUCUUGCACACUAAAGUUAUAUGGUUGACACUGGUUAUGUGAUGAGAUUGUUGAAACCAUGAAGAUGGUUGUUGUUCGAACCAAAGAGUCGGUUUCCUUUGUGAUAUGGGAGUGAUCACCGUAUUGAUGGUGUUGGUUACAAGGUAACCUGUAUGGUAAGGGAGUCCGAGGGACUCGGUGCACGAGCAUGUUCACUUCAUGAGUAGCAUGUUAUAGUCUUGCAUUUAACCUGCUUAAUUUUCAUGUUAUGUUUGUCAUUAUGCUUUUACUUAUUGUGAGCUUCCAAGUACAAUCAAUGUACUGACCUGGCAUGUCAUGCCAGCUUUCAAGAAAGUCAUACCGGACCGGAGUUCUUCCCGUGUCUAGGUCGUGUCCACAUCGGUGUCUCUGUGCUACGGAGUUCCACUUCAUGGUCGUUCCGCUGCCGCGUAGUUGUCGUGAUCGAGGUCCACUUCAUGUUCAUUAAAUAAUGUACAUACUGUUCAGCUGCACCUUGUGUGCCGCUUGGCCUCGCUACCUGCUAUAAUAUCGAACCUAUGUUUUCGCUGGCAUCAAUAAAGCGGUUGUUUUCUGUACCAAGUUGUUGUGUGUUGCAAGAAGACUAGAUCCCUGGGCUAGCAAUGCAAGGUAAACCGCUUGCUCUGAGCCGGGGUGCCACAUUGUCCGAGGCUAAGACGUAGUUGACCCGAUCAAUAUCGUCGCUCGUAAUGGGGUCGACGAUGAGGUAGUCUUAUGGCGUGUGGGUGAGGCGGCAACAACCGCAGACCAUCGUGACGACUUCGACGGUCGACGCGGGAUCCUCCGGAUACGCGUGGCCAGGGUGGCCCACUGAGUUCGCCGGUCCUGGUGCCGGUGCAUACUCUCUAGAUUGGGGGCAACCGCCAGGAGUACCGCCAAAGAUCCUUGAGUGUUGGGGCGGGCCGGUAGGUUGAGUUUGACCCGGCCCGUCCUGUUAACGACAAAGGUGAAGGAGCCAAAGGUCAGGCUCGUUCCCGACGGAAGGUCACCAGAAGACGGAACGGUUCCGACCCAAGAUCGGUCUCCAUCCCGCGCCCUCUGUGCCUGGUGCACCAACUGACAACACAAAAUAUCAUCAAAUCCCUCGGUAGGGGUUCGAGCGUGGCUGGAAGUCUUCGAUCAGAGGUCGCACAAGGGAUUUGUCUAGACUCGGGCCUCCAGAGAGUAAUACCGUGCAUCCUGCUAGUUUUUAUUAUUCGUGGUGGAGGGAUACCUCCUGCAAGGGGUUAUUAUGGUGUAUGAAAUUGUACUGAGAGUUUGCCUAUCUAAGAAUAGACGAUGUAGAGGGGUCCCGGUCUUCCUUUAUAUAAGCCAUAAGGUCUAGGGUUUACAGAGUAGUAGAUGCGAUCUGGGGCGUCGCAUCCUUAGUAUUGGACAACAAGAAGGUCUGUAGCACUCUCUAGGACUCCCUCAUUGUACUAGGCUGAGCGGCCCCCUUGUUGGUGUUGAGGCCGAGCUCCCUUGGGAGAGCCAUCCCUGGUCCAUGGUACCGUCACCGACCAUCACUCAUUGUGUGAUAAUGCAAAUCCACUACGCAAUGUUGCAAUCAACGAUGCCACUUCAAGACAGUACCUAGGAAUGGCUUGCCACUGCAACACCCGAGGUGGGUGUGUUGCUGCAAAGGGCCCCGAUAUUGCAAGGCAACAUAGGGUUGGCUGCCCCGCGAUGCUGCAAACCGGUGCAAGUUGCUACAAGGGAUUGACCACUGGUUGUUGACACUGAUGCUCUGGAGGCAAACUGAUGUUUCAAUCUAGAACGGGGUGUAUCGCUCGGUGCUGCAUGUGAUAGUCAACGGCGAUGCUCGGUGCCGCGAGGUGGGGAAGGGUCGUUGGCAUAGGCGUUGUGGCGGUGUUACAAGUCGAGUGGCAAUGUCCACGAUGUUGCGAGUUGUUGUGUCGCAAGGGCCUUUCCUAAUGCGACGCGAGGAGAAUGAAGCGGAGACAGUCCAUACGACCAAUGCCAAAACACAAUGCUGCAAGACUAGUAUGGUCGUUCUUGCAAGCAAAACCUGCAACUUUCCAGGCCAUGACACAGUGCUACAAGUGUAGGACCAACACCAUUGCUAGCCAUGACACAAAUGUUACAAGUUGGGUCCCACACCACUCCAACAGCUAAUCGGGCUAGGACAACUAGGACGUCCUAGGGUCGAGCGCUGCUUCUUCAAAAGGCGGAGCGCCAUGUUGCAAAUAGUAAAAAAAAAUCUUUGAGUGUGGUCAACCGCGGCUCAUGGCGUAGUAAAUUUUGGAUAAAUUGGUGUUGCCUAGUUUAUUGUUUUUUUAGUUUGUAAAGAGUUGCUGAGUAAUCAAAUAUUUGUUGGAUAUUUUUUUUAAUUAUAAGGAAAAAAUCCCUACAAAAAAACAAAAUUUUGUUUCAAAUCUCAACAUUUUGUGUGUUUGUUGUAAAAUAUCUUUUUUAUGUUGCACUCAUGUAAAUUGCCCGACUCAGAUUUCUUGCUCAACCCACCAUUAGUUCCUUGGAGCAAUGUAAGGGCAUCUCCAAUGUGGACCCUCAAACCGCUCGCAACCGUCAGGGACACGCGGUCCGGACGUGUUUUGCCAUCAAAAUAGGUCGUGCAUUGGUCCGCCAACCGGUUUGGCGCACUUUAUCCCGCGAACCCCAGAAAACUGAGGGCCUUUGCGGGAGUCUGGACACAAGCCACGUUGGACUCAAACACCCUAGGCCCACCCAAAACUAAGGCGGAGCCCGCACUUUUUAAGCUGGAUUCACUAUUUCCGCAGCAAAAUCUCCCACUCUCUUCUUCCAUCCCAUCAUUCUCCACCCAAUUCCUGCCAUUUUCUCCCACUCACUUCUUCCCUCCCGCCAUCGAUGCAUGGACCUGGAGGAGAACCUUUCAGAGACGGAGGUGGUGGAGGAUCCGAGCCUCACGCUCACCUGGAAGAUCAACUCGAUGACACAACAAAAUCACCACAUCAAAGCGAAGGCUGCAAAGGCGGAAACAUUUAAGAAGUAGAAGGACGGCUGAGGCGAGCUGGUGGUGGACGUGGUGGUGGGCGUGCUGGUGGCGGACGUUGCGGUGGUUGUGCUAGUGGCGGAUGUGGUGGAGGUCGAGGACGGGAUAGCGGAGCCCCACUAUUAUCGUCAACCGUGUAACUGCCACCAUGGCUGGAGCAUUCCGAGGCUCCAUACUACUACGCCGCCAAGCAGCUCAGUAGGCUUUCCAUGACAACCGCCACAAGGCAAGUGCCUUUCAUGGUCGACGUCAACGUGGCGCCGCUGCUUUUCUCGGAGUGUUCAUGACCGCGGCUUGUCUGGACGCAGACAACGGAUGUGGAGCACAUGGGUGCCCGCAUGUUGUUCGCUGGUAUGCCUAAAGCUAAAACCGGCAUAUGACGACCUGGUAAGGGAGAUGUUCAACAUCAUCCAUGAGGUGGGCGGGAGAUGAGGUUGCUUUGAGGACAGGCGUGUGGAUGACUCGGAGCCCACCCAGUCGGGCACGCAUCAGGGCUACACCCAGCAAGGCACGGACACACAACAACAGAGGGUUGUCGGAUGACAGGAGGAGGAGAAGGACAGCAAGGAUGAUGAUCCGGAUGAUUAUGUUGGUGAUCCAAAGAAGAGGAGUAGAGGAGAAAGCUUCAACAUGCGUGAGGACGAGAGUGUGAUGCAUGGUUGGCCACUAGCCUUGACCCGCUCCAUGGCACGGGGCAAAGGGCCCAACUUUUUGGGCCAACAUUCGCGCUCGGUGCCAUGACCACAAGGAUUUCACACCCUACUCUGAUGCGGUCAUCCGCAACCAUGAACCAAAGUCUCUUAACCAUCGAUGGCACACCAUCCAAGAGGCUGUGUCGAAGUAUUGCGGCCACUUGAGACAACUCAUCGCACUGUAGCCUAGUAGUGCGCAAAUCACCAAGCAAGCAAGUUGUUAAUAUGUGUACAUCAUUUUGGCCGAAUAUGCAUUAUUGUGUAGAUCUCUUUCCGAAUAUGAAUUGUUUUGUAGUCGGAUAUGCAUUGUUGUGUAGAUCACUUGCUGCAUAUGAAUUGUUGUGCAGAUCGCUAGCUAGAUAUGAAUUGUUUUGUUGAUAAUUUGUAGUUGGAUAUCUAUGCAUAGGUUUCUUGCCGGAAUGCAUUGUUGAUUUAUAUAUCCAUUUUGCAUCAUGUUUUCCUACUAUUAUUUUAAUUUAUUUUUAAGUUAUAUUCCACUUUUUGAUGCAAUUCUAAUGUAUUUUCUCUCUUAAAAUGCAAGAUGCACCAAAAGAGGGAGAUUGUCGACAGCUAAAAUUCUAGCCUGAAAAAGCUACAGUAGAUAUAGCUAUUCUCCGAAGCUUCAAAUGACCUAAAAAUUUAUGGAAAAUUAUUUUGGAAUAUAUAUAAAAUAUUGGAAGAAAGAAGUACAAGAUAUAAACCUCAGUGGGGCCACAAGGCAGGGGGCGUGACCUACCCCCCAGGGUGCACCCUAGUUCCUUAUGGGCGCCAUGAAGGUCAACCGAUGCCCAUCUUCUCCUAUAUAUAGUCAUUUACCCUAGAAAAAAGGACUUUCAGGACAAGUCGCCACCGUCUCGAGGUGGAAUCUGGGUAGGAGCACUUUUGCUCCUGCCGAUGAAACUUCCCUCCGGGUGGUGGAAAUCGAAGCCAUCAUCAUCACCAAUGCUCCUCUCAUCGUGGGAGGACUCAUCUCCAUCAACAUCUUCACCAGCACCAUCUCAUCUCCAACCCUAGUUCAUCUCUUGUGUUCAAUCUGCGUAUCAAACCUCAGAUUGGUACCUGGGGGUGCUAGUAGGGUUGAUAACAUCUUAUAGUUGGUUUACUUUGUGGAAGAUUAUAUGUUCAGAUUGUUAAUUACAUAUUUAUCCCAUCUGAUCAUAAACAUAAUCAUGCUUUAUGAGUAGUUCUGUUAGUUCUUGAGGACAUGGGAAAAUCUUGUUAUAAGUAAUCAUGUGAAGUUGGUAUUCGUUCAAUGUUUGGAUGAUACGUUAUGUUCUUUUUCCUCUAGUGUUGUCGUGUGAAGGUCGACUACAUGACACUUCACUAUGUUUGGGCCUAGGGGAAGGCAGUUGGGACUAGUUUCUAGAUGAUGGUUGCGGGAGUGACGGAAACCUUAACCCCAGCUUACGAGUUGUUCCGUAAGGAGGUUGUUUUGGAUCCUUUUGUUUAAUGCUAUACUUAUAUUUAUCUUAAUUCUGCUCUUGUAUUUGUGGAUGCUUGCAUGGAUAGGGUAAUCAUAAGUAGGUUGUUUGUUCAAGAACAACAACUUAGCUUCGGUCCACCCGCAUAACAACUUGUCAAAACAAUGAAUGUGAAUCAAUGAAACAUGAUGAAGGUAACUAGAUGAAUUCUUGUGCGUCCUCGAGAACGCUUUAGUCACUAUAAGAAGUAGUUUCGGCUUGUCCUUAGCAAUAUUUUCGAUUGGGACACCUUGCUACUUUGGUUACUUGUUACUUGCUACUACUUGUUUUGCUAUCAAACUAUCUGUCACAACUAUCUUACAACACUUGCGGAGAAUACCUUACUGAAAAUCGCUUACUGAUUUCUUCUGCUCCUCGUUGGAUUCGACACUCUUACAUAUCGAAAGGACUAUGAUUGAUCCCCUAUACUUGUGGGUCAUCAUUGACAAUGUAUUGUUUUGUAGCCUUCUCGUGCAGGUACUGUGUUCAAGAAAUUGGAGAAGGAAAACUUCACUGUCAUGCAUUGUUGGUUGAAGUUGCAAGGAUGAUCCAAAUGGAAUCUAUACAUUGCCAAGAGCGCCACCAUUGCAAGCGAGGAAGAAACCAGUGAUCCAACCGACCCAACAAAAGAACCAUCCAAGAAGGUUAGAAGAGGAUUAUGGGGAAAGAAGUGGAAGAAUGAGAGGACAAAGCGAAAAGGUGCAACAGCAAAGAUGACAGAGAGAUUCAAAGACAUCUUGACGAAGAAAGAUGAGGCAUACGUCAAGCGCUCGGACGUCAAUGGGAAAAAGGGAGGAGUGGUUUAACUUUGAUGGAGCCGACCGAGAAGAAGUUCAAGCUCGAAGAGAAGGAGACAAUGCUUAACUAGAAGAAGGUGAGCUACGGAGGACGCGAAGAUGUUGACCUUGAAGGUGGUGAAGUUAGAUGACGGCGUAAGAAUGAUCGUGCAAGCCGUCCGUUACAAGAUGUUGCAGCAGCUGAAGGAUGAGCUAGAGAGGACGGAGAAGGAGGCAGCCUACAUGGUGACGAUGACAGAUUAGAGUGAGCUCGGAUUGCCGGUCCGGCAAGGCAGAAAAACUUUUUUUUAACGAACUGUCGGACCGAUAUUCUUUUGUGCCCGGAUUGCGGGUCUGCGUUGGAGAUACUUGGGAGAGUUUAAAAGGAGAGUGGCGUGACCGUGUACGAGGACAUUGGAGCAAAGUGCGAACGUCAGUGCGGCCUGAUCAUUAGACCCGGCUGAUACAAUAGCCUCGUAUCAGCCGGAUGACGCGUAGUGUAGGCCAAAUCGUUUGCACGCACUGCUUUGCUGCGGUCGCUAGAAGCAGUGAUCCGUUCUAUUUUCGUUAUGCUGUAAUAAUUUUACUUAAGCUGACGCAACUGUGUGUACCUCAAGUUACACCAAUCCGCUCGUACGGUGUUCAUUGCUACUGUAGGUCUCACUGGUAAUCACAAACACAAUCAGAAAAACAGGAUGUUUUUUAGGGAAGAAGCAGGCCGUCUUAACAUCCUCUUCAUCAUUUUUUAGGGAAGAAACAGAGUUGAUGUAUAGACUGUAAAAUCAAAACAGAUAAAGUUACAGUACAUGAACAUCACAGUCACUAGUAAAAUCAUCUCCGGUAAACACGGAGGCCUGAUGUAGACUGUAGAGGAGCCAACGGAGUUGGCGAAAAUAAUACGGAGAAGGUGAAACGAAGAUACAUCCAAGUUGAAGAAACAAGCAUGAGUAUGGAGCUACAGCAUAUUCCAAGUAUUCAUACAGCGGGAGGGGGGGACACUACAGCACCCUCCAUCUGUCAUCAAACACAUCUUCUUUUAAACAACAACAACAAACAAGGCCGUAUCAUCAUCAUCAUCAUUCAUCAUCAAACAUACAUCCAACAUGAAGAAAAGGCGGCGGCGGGGGACAAAAAAGAAAAGAAUCGAAUUACAGACUAGCAGCAGGGUAUAAAAAUCCAUCCUGUACUUUCCUCGGGGUACGGACGACAUCGUCCGUCUGCGCCCGGCGAGCAGCAGCACCGCCGUCGGCACCUAAUAAACAUCUUAUGGACGGACGCAGGGGACAACCUUACUAUGAUGUAAC
This 69716-nucleotide long non-coding RNA is filed under the name Triticum aestivum (bread wheat). RNAcentral describes it as "long non-coding RNA (TAES_LNC012651)". The record is from RNAcentral. Lineage: Eukaryota; Viridiplantae; Streptophyta; Magnoliopsida; Poales; Poaceae.